RNAcentral lists this long non-coding RNA (65163 nucleotides) under Setaria viridis. RNAcentral's name for it is "long non-coding RNA (SVIR_LNC009887)". The record is from RNAcentral. Lineage: Eukaryota; Viridiplantae; Streptophyta; Magnoliopsida; Poales; Poaceae.
GGGUGAGGUUGGUGUUUGGUGUGGUACCACAAGGGAAGGUAAAAAUGCAACCUUUCCUAGUUCCGUGUAUGAUUACUUGAUUAGUACUGUAUGCAGUAACAAGUAAAUAACUCGAGUCUGUGCAUACACUGCGGAGCGUCAGAAAUUGUACAAAAGAAUUCCUUACAAAGAAGAGGUUUUAUAUGUGCGAGAUCACUGCUGUUCCUUACAAAAAUUUACCCCACUGAUCUCUAGUUUCUCUGAAUCUAUCGCAAAGAAUCCGUCUCAUGUGGCCAUUUUGUAUGUCCAUGAUCUUCAGCUGCCGGAGGAAUCAGGAGUUCAGGAUCAUACUCUUUCAAUUCACAUGCGCGAAUAUCCCUCUUUUCCGACACCAUUGCCUCAAAUUUCUAAAGAUUCAGGUGCAGGCACCAUAUAGCAAUAUAUAUUGUACAACAUGAAAGCAACUUUUGGUACAUGCCAUCCAUGGAAUUGGUUCUGUUCCAAAUUGCAAUCCAGCUGAAUUGGAUUCUGUUGCAACCAUACUCACCAAAAGUUCACCAAGCAUUGUACCUGAAGAGCCUUGCUGGAUUUGCCUGCCCAGCUCAGGAUUGUGAAGAAAGCUCCAGCUGACAGGCCACCUUACCUACUGACAGGCCAUGUCUCUGUCAGGGCACUAACACCGCGUUAAAAAUGAUGCUCCAGUUUGCAACGCUAAUGGUGUGAGGUUAAAAGUAGGCAGGGUAGACAGAGCCCAGUCACCUCAGAGGGCAGGGUGCAUCAAUUAUUUGGACCGGACGGUUGUUGCUGGUCGUUGUUGGUCAUCAAGUGAGAUGUGGAAGUUGCAGUGUGCAAACUGUUGGCUGUGGAUGAAGCUUCUGUGAGAUGGAGUGACCAAUUAGCUUCAAGUUUUGAAGUGCCUUUUCUUUUUUUAUAAAAGCUAAAAUUAGGUGUACCUCUCACAAUUCAUGUAGGUUUAGGAUAAGGUCAUGCGCAGUGCACAUGUUGACCCAUUUGGGAUGUCUCUUUUUCAAGCUAGCUGUUUUGUGUGACUGCAGCAUGUGCGUUCACCCAGAAGUUUUAUCUGUCUGUAGACUGCACGCCACUGCUGGGAUACGUGUAUAGUACCUAGCAGGGACGGUUAAGAAAGUUGACAACAUUGACUAUAAUACAUCGGCGUGUACAAAAUAUACUGCAGCAAACACAUCAAAGGCAAGGACAAACCAACCCAUACGGUUCCUUAAAUCCGAACACAGAGAUGCAGAGCACAGUGGGACAACCCUUUUUCAUCAUCCAAGAUUGGUCAUCACAUGCAUAGGCACCAAGAGGCAAUUUGCAUUUUUUUUCUUCGUUAAAAGUAACUUUCAUACAGCUUUAAUAGGUUUAUAAAUUGUUUUGGCAUACAAAUACAAAAUAAACUGUCGUUGAACUCUCUAUAUUGAACUCUUGGGGGCAUUCUCCUCCUAACUUGGAGCAAGAAGAAACAUAGCUACAGACAACUCUCGCAGCCAUCAACUUACAAAACUUUUGACAACAUGAGUGCAUGCCCCCCUUUUUACACAAGCAUGACAAGGUAAAGGCCUCAACACCUUUUGCUGUUUCGCUUACCUAGAUACAAUAGUGACAGUUGACCUAAGACAAAAUUGCUCAAUUCUAAAGCAAUACCGCAUAUAUCUCAAGCUGAGGAUCAGUAAUCACAAAGGCAAGUAAAUGCGAUAUCAGUUGUGCCUGAUCAAAAAUCUAUCUCAACGCGGCAAAAUUGCCAAAAGCUCUGCCUUGUGUUGCAUACAGUAGUAUACCAAAAUUGCUAGAAUGAUAACUAGUAUCAUAGGCCAUACAUUUGAACCUGUCAAGACAAAAGCAUCCAUUUUUAGAAUAAGAAUUGCAAAGAAUGGCUGGGUGAAAUAAAUCUAAGAACCAAAGAUGCCUCAUACCAUUACUCUUAGGGGACCCAACUGACGUCACUCUUGCAGUUGAGUCAAAGGAAGUUGACAGCAAGGUUCUGAAAUGAUGUAAACCAACUACAUUGAGAAAUUGCAUUUUUGAUUUUUAGGACUCAACUGAAGUAGAUCUAACCUUGAAUCCUGGGAGAAGCCCAGCGUAGUAACAAUGCCAAGAUGUGCCUUUUUAACUGUUAUGAGUGUUCGCAUAUCUUUUGACCCUAGUACGAUGACGGUUCCUUCAAUUGUUCCACUGGGUAUCAAGGGCAAAACAUAAGAUUUCCAAGAAAAUACAGCCAUGUUAUCUCCUAAAGCUGAGUACCUAAAUGGAAUGAUGGCAACAAUAUUAUUCCAUGCUCACAUUGCCAGAAGAGCACCAUCAGGUGACACAGCGAAAGCUGAAAUAGCCUCUCGAGUUAUUUUCUUUGAUCCAACUCUUGUCCAUGAGGUAGUAUCCCAAGAUAUUAUUUUCCAAUAGUCACCUAAAAAUCAGCAUUAUUUUGUUAUUGUCAUGCUUCAAGCUCAUUAACAAAUGUGAUUAGUAACAAGGUCAACUUAAAUCUUAAUGUCACCUUGCAUUGCAGCUAUAAAUAAGACGUUACUAUUGUCAGUCUUAUUGGAGAAUCUGCAGAAUCCAAAUAUUUCUCCCUGGAAAUGUACAGAUCAGCAACUCACUUAAACAAGAUACAAAAUCAUUAAAUUAAUGACAUUGAAUCGUUAACCUUAUGAAUUCUGUCAAAAAACAACACUCACUGCUUCUCUUGGGAGAUUAGCUACAACUUCGGAUGACAGCAAAUCCCACACUUUACAUGGACCACUGCUCCUAUUCACAGCAAGAAACUUCUCAUCGGUACUGAAAGCAGGUUUUAGAAGCACAAAAAUUCCAUCAGUAUCUUGCAAAUAAUAUUAAUAAGGGAAUAUAAGUUUGAUUGCCACUUCUUCACCUGAAACUAAGAUCCUUAAUUGAGGUUUUAGUAUCAGCUUCUGUGAGAACAGACUCCAAGGCAGGCCAUUUGAAGACCCUUAAAUGUCCGUCCUACAAAAAUAUAGAAACAAAUGAAGACAUGUCAAUAAUAAAACAAUUCCAGUGCCAUAACAGAACCUCCCUGAAACAAGAAACUAUAAACAAAUCCUCAAAGCAUAAAUGCAAGAUCAUGCUUAAUAAAGUUAUCACUUAAAUGAAGGCAAACCAUAUUUGCAUUACUAUAAUGUAAAAGCAAGGCCAAGUGUUAGGAAUUUUCUGCCAGCAAGAAAUGAUUAUUAAAAACCCGUCAACAAUGGAUAAACCUACAGAAACUGAUAAGCAUAGACUUGCUUAAAUAUAGCUUAAGGUGAUGAAGCAAUCACGUAUAAAACAGUAGCCAAUGAAAUCUGGAAAAGCACAUCUCAAGAACUACUCAAAUGUUAGCUUGUCUCUCAUGUUAAAGUGCUACAAUUUUGUUCAAUUACUAAAGACACCCUAGCUUUACAUUCUUGCCAAAGAAUUCUGUGCCAUGAAGACCAUGAAACAAGAAGAAUCUCUUUGGCUAACAUAAAAAGUAUACAGCCACCUCUUCAUAGAAUCCUCCAUAACAAAUGUUGUCAAUUUUGUCAAAUGCUUGUUUAGUUGCUUAAACGAGUUAAUUAUGUGGCUACAUUAGCAAGUAUGCAAAAGUGUAGCUCAUGAUGACCACAGAAUGUAGUUUACAUUGCUAGCUGCAUACGCCAGAAGAAUAGCACCCCUACAAGCAACUAGAUCUAUCAGAUCUUCGUAAGACAUUGUUUGACUUUUGUGAUGUCAGAAUAAGCAGAACAAAAACGAAUAAUCAUAUCUUGCUUAGCUUAUGAAAUAAAGUUGAAAAUAGAAUAAUUUCCAAACUAGGUACUUGAAGUACCUAGAGUGUUCCUUCAGAUAUAUUCACAACAGAAAAGGAAUAAUACUCCUAAGGAACAAAAGUACUAAAAUAUCUACAAGAACUAGUAAACAGUAAAAUCAAUGAAAAAUAUGCCAUAUUAACUUACCUCACCACCAGUGGCAAGUAUUGAACCUUCUCCACUGAAUGAUACGGCCAACUGCAAACCAACAUCUGUUAGCUCCGCUAAUGCUUCCUGGUCAGCCUCCAAAGCUAGGUUACGUGGUUCGUCUCCUUCCUGUGAUUCCCAUCGAUACAACCUACAUGGGUGUUUUCAUAGUUAAAACUACGGCAGGAAAAAUUUACAAGUUAGAGGGAGGGGGAGGGGGAGGGGGGGGGGGGGGGGACAUCCUCAUUAUCUUUUGCAGCUGCUACUUUCUGAACCACUAAUUCAUCAAUAAUAACUAAGCAAGCUGCAUGGCCGAACAAUGCUUCGAGAUAGGCUACCAAAAUACCAAACAGGACAGUAAAUUAGAUAUAGAAGCAGGAACUAAUCUAACAUGCCUCAACCUGUUAAAGAAGAAUCUUGCAUGGAAAGGCUAGGCUACAUAACAAGACAAUUCACAAAUACCACAAUCCCCUUCAGGCCAUGUCACUUGUUACCAAAAAGAAUCAACAUCAGAAACUAUCUUCUCGAAUAGAAUUGGCCUAGGCUACAUUACAAUGCAUUCCUUGGAACCAAAAACAAAACACUAUCACUAGUCACAACUUAUUUGACAACCGAGUAGAAUUUCACAAAACAAUCCCAACUAACUAUUCCGAGCUUAAGCAACACAGAAGCAGCAAAUUAACUGAUUACAUUACCGACACAAGCCAUAGAAGGAUACAAAUGUAUCACAUUUUGAUCACCAGCACAAAUCAGAAUUCACAACCAACAAGUACCAAUAUCAAGCAACAGGAGCAGACGCACACGGCGUACGUGCGCAUCGAGUAUGGAACUCCAAGGACGUGACCCGAGGCGAGGAGGGCACCAACCUGCAUCCGUUGGGGAAGGCGCAGAGCACGCCGUCGCCGCGCGGGUGGACGGCCAUCCUAUACGGCACCUCCUCCUCGGUGUUGACCUCAACAACCUGCCCAACACCGCCACGAGACACCAGAUAAGCACGGGAUCCUCACACACGGCCUAGAUCGGCGCAGGAUCUGGGAUGGGACGGAUCGCUCACCGCUUCAGGGGAGAGGGCCGCCUCUUCCCCCGCCGCAGCGGCGGGGUCCAGCGCGGCCACGACGAGCUUGUUGGGCACGCCGCUCCGGCCCUCCCCGCCGCCGCCGCCGAGGGCGGCCAUCGGGGGCGGCGGAGGGGAGGAGGAGGCGGCAUCCGCGUCCGCAUCGGUGGCGGGAGGGUCCGGAUUGACGAUGUGGGCGAGGGGGAGCCAGGCGGCGCAGUAGAUCGGGAACCCGUAGGACUGCCCGCCGCGGGCCGCCAUCGCCGCCGGCCUGCGGGGGAGAUGGGUGAUGUCGGUGGUGGUGGUCGCCGGAGAACGCGCGGCUGACGGUGGGGGAGGUGUGCGCGUGCGGAGGUGAUGGCGUGACGCUGACGCGGUUGUGCAAAGGAUGCGUUCUUGGUUGACCACUUGACCUUUCCCCUCUAAAAAAGUGUUUCCAACGAGGAUCUUGGUCAAAUGUUAGUGUUAGUACACCAAAAAGUUAAAAAAAAUCUAAAAAAAAUACAAAUUGUUUUUAUUUCUAAAUUGAUCCUCAUUUCAUAUUUUAAAUAUAAAAUAUAAUAUGUUUGGUUGUUUGCUCUAUGUUCUAGCCCUAUUCAUUUUAUACGCCUUUUCUCGUGUGUUUGUCGAUUUAACAUUCUUGUAAACACAUAGCAUGGUAUGCCAAAUUUAUGAAUUAAGAAAAAGAUGAGCGAUUAUAAAGAAAAUACUUGACUUUGUGAUGUUUGCUCAACAAGCUUUGUAGAUUAUUUGUAUGCCAAAUAAUAAUUCAAAUACCUACUAUACACACACACACUGUAUUUCCUUCUUCCAGAGAUCCUUUUUCUGAUUUAUAACAAUAAUAAUUAUAGAAGAAUAAAGGCAUACCUUAGCAUUGUCUUAUUACAAAGUAAUUCUGUCACAACAAAAUGAUUUCACAAGUAGGGAUGGAAAUGUGAAAAUGGAUAUCCGAAUUAUCUGAAUCCGUAUCCACUAAAACAACAAAUAUGGAUAUUCGUAUUCAUAUCCGAAUUUAAUAUGGUACUAAAAUGGAUAUAUUCGAAUUCGUUUUUCUUGAUUUUUUCUAUCCGAUUCCACAUUUGUAUUCAACAAUAUCCGACACUAUCCGUAUCCGACCAUAUGAAACUGCUAGUUAUCUCUAUAACUAAUGAUAAAUGAUGUUACUUUAAAUAUUAAUAAUGACAAUAUAUCAUUCAAACCAUUCAAAAUUUAUUUUUAUAACUAAUAGUUAAUUAUAUCAAUUUUUUAUUACUAAUAUUGUACCCAUAAAACUAUUUAAAAUUUAUCUCUAAUUUUAGUGACCAAUGUCAUUAAAUUUAAUAAUAAAUAUUUAUGUGAGUAUUAAUUUUAUUUUUAAAUACUCUAGUUUAUCUAUUUAUUAAUAAAAACAUUUUUUGUACAAUUUUUAUUAUUCAUUGAUAAAUAUUUAUAUUUAUUAAAAUAUAUAUUUAUCCAUAUAUUAUUGUUUCAUAGAUUGCACUAAAAUCAAAUAAUUAUUAAUUAAUGCAGUAUUUUCAUGAGCAAUUUUUGUUUGCACUUACUCAUACUUUGGUCUCUACUUGUAUAAAAGUUUUGUUAUUACAACCAUCAACAAAUAAACUAGAUAAAUGUUAUCUUCAAACCGAGUAAAUAUUCGAUGGAUAUCCGAAUUAAAGACAUUUGUUUUGUAUUUGUAUUUAAAAAUAUCCAAAUUCGUAUUCGACUUAAAAUGUGAUAAAAAUGCUACCCGAUGCGAAUUGGAUCCGAAUUUCAUCCGUAUUCACAAGCACAGCGAUGAGCGAUCUCAUCGACCUGUCUGAUCGGACGGUUAGCAUUCACCGUUGCCAUUGCCAAGUCGCUGCCCCGUGCGCCCCAAAAACCCCACCUUUUCUUAUCCCCGUCACCUAUCCGCCGGCCCGCCGCCCGCCGGCCACCUCCACCUCGCCGGCGAGAUGCUGACCUGCGGCCGCUUCCUCUCCUCAUCCGCCGCCACAACCACAGCUUCCUUUUCUCCGCUCCGGACCCUGACCCGCUCCCUCCUCCGCCGCCCCCAUCCCCGCCUCCUCUUCUGCUCCUCCGCCGCCGCCGCCACGACCGCCGUCGAGCCCGACACCAAAGGUAAGAGCUUUAGCCUUCUUUCGUUGAUUCGUUCGUAGCCGUACAUCUAAGCUUCGGUUUUGGCUGCAGUCGGCAGCGGCGCGGGUGCAGGUGGAGGUGGUGCGGUGAGGCCGCAGUGGAAGGCGUCGAUUGACUUCAAAUGGAUCCGGGACAACCGGGACGCCGUCGCUGACAACAUCCGGAGCAGGAACUCCGCUGCGAACCUCGACCUCGUCCUGAAGCUCUAUGACCAGUACCUCGCGCUGCAGAAGGUCAGGAGCUUUCACAAUGUCGUAGCUCUUUGUUCCAAUUGCUCAAGCUGUCUGAUUGUGCUUCGUUAGAUUGGGCAAUAGUCCAACUGAAAGCUUGCACUGUGAGUAGUUCAUGUUCUAGUGCGUGGAUUAUGAUGCCUUCGAGUGGUGUGCAGAUGGUUGCUACAAUUUUCAUGGAAUCCCAAUUUUCUUCUGAAUUUACUUUUAAACUGUUGUUUCAACUGUCCAAUGGUAUGGUUGACAAACUAAGCUUGUACCUUGUGGUAUCCUUCUGGCUAGCAAAAAUUAGAAACUGAACUUAAAAAUUGGACAUAAAUCGUGAUGUUUAUUUGUAGCAAAGAUAAUUUUGUGUUUAGCAUAAGUCACAGUUUUUUUAUACAUUAGAUUGACAUUCAAGCACAUAGCCCACUAAUUCCAUGCAAAUUCAAUGCUCACUAAAGGUGAUUUAGAGUGGACAAACCCAUUGCCCGUGAAAGUUGAAUGUAGGAACUCAUACUGACCUGGUGCUUGUUAUGGAGCUCUUCCAGACAUACCUUAUAAUAAUGCAUUGAUGUUAUGUCAACAUUGAAUUAUAAUGAAUAUGUACAUAUUCUUGAAAGCUCAACCUUUAGAUGGCUUUGUUUUUGUUUUUUCUGAAUUGAGUCUGUCCUCCAUUUCCAUUAACAAGAACGGAAAUACAACAGAGUUUUAGAGUUUACAGCAAUGACAUAGAAAGAGAGACAGUUUGACCUCUAACCGCAUCUUACCUCUAGUGUAAUCGUUACCUGUUUCAGGUAGAGACACUACUAACAAGUAAGAUCAAAGAAACCCAUUAGGCACGCCUAUUAAAAUUUGAAAGCUAUGUAACCAAAACAUGACAGAAACUACACAGGUCUAUUGGCGACGAUGCUUCCAGUUUCAUCCCAAUUGCCAUCUUCUGUGUUCAGCUGAAUGAUCUGUAUUGUUCCAAUCAUGCCCCAGAGUUCUCCUGUGCCCGAUUUUAGGUGGCUUUGGUUGACCCUUAACUGAUUUAAGACUGUCCUCUUGUCAAUUUGUCUUUUAUGAUAGCAAAGCUAAAUUGCGAAAAUUUUAAGAUCCUCAGGUUCUUAGUGCUUGUUCAUGUGCAAUUUUGUUAAUGGUGUACAUCUGCUAGUUCCCUUUAAAUAGUUCCUUUAUAGAAGUUUUAUCUUCUGCUGAGGACAUAUAUAAUAGUUAAACAUGUUUCUAUACACACAAUUGCUGAACACAGUUGGUUAUUCAGUUCCAGACUGUUCUUUUUUUUUCGAAAGUGCGGCAGAUUUUCCGUGAGAGUUUAUUAGAAGUUCCAGACUGUAAUAUGGUGGUAACAGAAACAUGGCAACAAUUUCUAAUUAUGACAGAUGGCAGGAGGUUGAACGGCUCCGAGCUGAAAGAAAUGCAGUUGCUAACAAGAUGAAAGGGAAACUAGACCCAUCUGUGCGCCAAGCCCUUGUUGAAGAAGGUAUAAUAAACACUUUUUAAAGUUCGAGCAGGAAGUUAAGGAUUUUUUUUACUUAUUUGAGUUUUUACAGGCAAGAACCUGAAAGAGGCACUUAUUGGACUUGAAGAGGAUCUUGUUGAGCUGACCGAUAAGCUUCAACUUGAAGCACAAAGUAUUCCUAACGCUACACAUCCAGAUGUUCCUGUAGGCGGUGAGGAAAGCUCUGUUGUCAGGAAGGAGGUAGCGUGUUGCUGUAUAUAUUUCCUGCUGCCUUCACUUUGUAGAUCAAUAAUUUCUUUUGUUUGAACUGUGUAGGUAGGAAGUCAGAGGAGCUUCAAUUUCACAAUCAAAGAUCACCUUCAGCUGGGAAAGGAACUUGAUUUAUUUGAUUUUGAUGCAGCAGCUGAGGUAUAGCUCUGACAACUUUACUUCCACUCUAUAUUUAAAGAGUGAAUUCCCUCAAUGCCAUUGGAAUUUAUAACGAUUCCCUCAAUGCCAUCGAAAUUUUUCUCUUCCCUGCACUGCCACUGUUUCUAAUUUCCUUUCCCUUCAUUGCCAUUCCGUUAGAUUCUCCAUCCAUAUGACACUGACAACGUGGCCCCACUGGAACCUUAUCUAUAUGACCAUUGACGGAAUCGAGUUCUAUUAGCAAUCGGCGUUCUCGGCUCGCCGAGGUCAUCUGGCCAGACAGCCCUGCCGCCGCAGUCAUCAUGGGCCAGGUUUGAGGCCGCGUCUGGGAUCCCCGGCAUCGUCGGCGCUGUCUGCACCACGCGCGUCCUCAUCGUCGCGCCCAAGGCCAAUGUUGCCGCGUACACGUACGCCUCUAGUGGAGAGGACGAGCUGAGACGGAAAAUCUAACGGAAUUGCAAUGAAGGGAAAGGAAAUUAGAAUUAGUGGUAGUGAGGGGAAGAGAAAAAUUUCGAUGGCAUUGAGGGAAUCGUUAUAAAUUCCAACGGCAUUGAGGGAAUUCACUCAUAUUUAAACACAUUCUAGAAAGUUGUUGACUAAGAGGUUUGUUGGGACUUGGGACACCCAAAGUCAAACUGCAUGACAUUAAGUAAAUAGGUCUGAAAUUCUCUAUGAAAAUGGAUCUAGUUAGUUUGUCUAUGUUAUGAAAUUCUUAUAAAAGUGGAUGUAUUGUUGGGUCUUUCUUUUUUACAAAAGAUCCAUACUGUGUUGCACAGGUCAGUGGUUCAAAGUUCUACUACUUAAAGAAUGAAGCUGUUUUGUUGGAGAUGGCUCUUGUAAAUUGGGCUAUCUCGGAGGUCGCAAAGAAGGGUUUCACACCACUCAUAACUCCAGAGAUUGUACGGUCAUCUGUUGUUGAGAAAUGCGGCUUCCAGCCAAGGGCCCAAAAUACUCAGGUAUGAUCUCCCUUGUUAAGCAUAGUAUUCACUAUUAAUUAUUUAUAUCAUAAAUGGCAUGAGAAUAGCCACUCAAGCACCCCUUUGGUCUAAUGACUAGUUUUUGCUAUUGUCAUAUGUUUGCAUUAUCAACUGUUUGGUAUUGUGGAGUAUUCCCUGUGAUCACAAAAGUUUUUCUGUUUUGGGCAUCUAUGGAGUCUCCAAAACAUAAGAUUAGCCACUAAUUCUGUUAUAAUAUAUUUAUUAAAAAGUAACAGGGAAGUCAUAAUAGUUUGAAAAGUGGAACUACUUUUCAAGAUGACUCUAAUCCUAUCAUUUCAAAUCUUCAAUCUCAAAAUUCAAAAGGAUAUCAAGAGCCAAAUUUUAUAAAACUUGACCACACGUGUCCCAAAAUUUCACCCUUUACUGAGUAGGAGUAUUUGUUUGCCCCUGAUAUGCCCUCUAGGUUUCUGUGGCAUUCUUUGCUUUUCAAAUUUCAAUACCUUCGUUUCUCUUCCUCAGAAGGGUACAUUUGAGUUCUAGUUUUACUGAUGCUAAUAUGAUCUCUUGCACUCUGCUGUGUAGGUCUAUUCAAUUGAGAACAGCGAUCAGUGUCUCAUUGGAACUGCUGAAAUUCCUGUUGGAGGCAUCCACAUGGACUCAAUACUUCUCGAAUCUGCUUUGCCUUUAAAAUAUGUAGCCUAUUCACACUGUUUCCGCACGGAAGCUGGUGCAGCAGGUGCUGCUACUAGGUUAGUCUGUUCUCCUUUCGCCUUAAAGAUUAUGACUGAUUGAGUUUAUUGAUUUAUGAAAUUUCAGCAUAGCAUGAAAAAGUAGGUGUAGUGAGAUUAUGUGGUUCAAUUUUUUUUAUUUGAUUUAUGAAAUUUCACCAUAGCAUGAAAAAGUAGGUGUAGUGAGAUUAUGUGGUGGUUCUAUUUUUUGAUGGCAUAAAACAGUAAUUGAUAAGCAGUCUAUUUUUUGAUGGCAUAAAACAGUAAUUGAUAAGCAGACUUUUCACUUGCUCUGCAUUGAGAUUUAUUUUACAGUGCCUUUGUAAAGUUGCUACGUUUAUGUCCUUUUAUCCUGAACAGGGGCCUCUAUCGAGUACAUCAAUUUAGCAAGGUUGAGAUGUUCAUAUUCUGUCGACCAGAGGAAAGUGACAAAUGGCAUGAAGAACUAAUUACGAUUGAAGAGGAUCUUUAUGCAUCACUUGGACUUCAUUUCAAGUACAUCCUGUUCCUCUUAAUUUGUGUGCCUUAUCUGUUUUGGAGAUGGAAUUUCAUUGACACGAGUGUAAUACCAAUGCCAAUAUUCUUUUUUUAAUAGAACUUUGGAUAUGGCAACUGGGGAUUUGGGUGCACCAGCUUACCGGAAAUUUGACAUUGAAGCGUGGAUGCCAGGCCUAGAGCGAUAUGGUGAGGUAAGGGUUCCAGGCCUCCACAUCUACCGUUUCCUGCUCAUCCCAUUUCAUUCAGUCUUUUUGAUAGUUCGUGAUGAAAACUUGCAGAUCUCCAGUGCAUCUAACUGCACAGACUAUCAAAGUAGGCGGCUAGGCAUCCGUUAUCGUCCAGCACCCACAGAGCCUCCACCGGCGAACGCCAAGAAAGUGAAGGCAGCUGGCGGGCCAACUCAAUUUGUCCAUACACUCAACGCAACAGCUGUUGCAGUGCCUCGUCUGAUAGUAUGCAUUCUGGAGAAUUUUCAACAGGACGACGGGUCGAUUGUGAUUCCAGAGCCUCUAAGACCCUUCAUGGGUGGACUCGAGGUGCUCACCCCAAAAUCUAAGUGACCUACAGUCACCCACAGUUGAGCUUGCGGUAUCCGUGAAAAAUUGAGCUGGAUGGAUAACGUAGAAAUGAACUGAGGGUCAUUUGAGUUUUGUGAUUUGGGCUCCUGUUUCAUAACAUGCCUUAAAUGAUCUUUUUUCUUUUCGUUCUUGAAUUCAUGUAAGCUAGCACAGAUUAUAUUGGCCACCUACUCUGCAUAGCAUUUACAAAGAUUAUGCCUUCACUUUGACGUGAAAGAAUGAAAACUGGCACAUCUUUUGGUACAUGGAUCGGACCACCUAGUCUCCUUGAAGCACGUCUGUGUGUUUUUCUUCUUUCGAAGAUCUAGCAAUGGAAUGCUGAGGGAAAAGAAGUACAAGAAUGGAGCUUCUGAAACUUUGAUAAUUUCUUCACCAGGAAACUUUGGUAACUUCUCAAAGAUCUAGCAAGGGUCUGCCGACCGAAAAGGAGUUCAGAUCGAGCUGGAGUCUCGAUUCCUGAUUGGAUUGGAAAAGAGACGACGGACGCCGAGAUUGAUCAUAUCCCUAACCUAGCUCUGCCUCUAAGCUACAAAGGUCGAGUGCGAGGCUAACCGCCGCGGAUCGAUUGAGUCCUCAUCGCAAUGAAGAAACACAAAGCAUCGAGCUCACGGCGCGCGGAGGCGCAAUAAUGGGGCCGAAGCGAAAGCGACGACGAUUGCUGCAACUGGCCGCAACGGCGGCGGCGACGGGGCUCCGACGGCGGUGAAGGCGGUGGCAUUGCCGGUGGAGUUCCUCAGGUGGUUCCUGGCGCAGAGCAGCGAGGACUACCGCGUCCCGGCCCUCGACGACUACUCGCCGUCGCUGGGACGCCGCCGAGGAGCGGGAGACGACGGUCCGCCGGGUGAGCGCCGACGCCCAGGCCACGAAGGAUGGCUUCGCCGCGUUCCAUGCUUGGGUCCGCGGCGUCGCCGACAAGGACGGCCGCGUCGUGCUCGGGCGCACGUCCAACCCCCGGGAGCUGCAGGAGAUCAUCGACGGCGAGUGGGCAGAAGCGAGGUGGGAGCUCGGCAUGGGGGAUGGAGAUGGAGUUGUCGCCGGUUCUGAUGACGCUGCCGGCAAGGAGGACGGUGAGGGCGCCAUGGCGUCGUCGUCGUCAUCGUCCAAGAUGAUGAGGGUCCCACGCGGCCCGCAUCUGCAAACCCUGUCGAUCUACCUGUCUCUGAUCUACCAGCGCAUGACAUAAGUUUUUGGUUAGGGUCGUUCAUGUCACGUAUAUCCAUGUCGUAUCUAACUUAGGCAGUCUCGGUGGGAGUUUCCUGAAGAGUUUCAUGGUCAAUAAAUUCCAUACCACAUGAGCAAUUUUGCUGAUUUGGUAAGAUCGUAAAGUAAGGUCUUUACGAGGAGAUUCCAUUGGCAUCCAAAAUCCCCUACUUGAGUGAAGUGGUUAUGCUCGGAGUUACCUUCACGCUUCAUGAUAUUUGUAUUUCUUAAUAUAUACUUAAAAAGGGACUGUCUACUGGUAACUCGGGUGUUAUUCUGACCACAAUCACCCAGGUGAUUUAUAGGGGAAUAACACCCGGUUUUGAACUGGAAAAAAAUCCAGGUGCUGCAAAGAGAUCUGUCACCUGAAAGUUCUGACCCUAAGAUUCUGAUCAGACGAUUAACAAAAAAGAUUAUAUAAACAAGGAAAAGCAAAAUAGCUGAACAUAUUUUUUCUAUGGUCAGCCAAAGAACAAAUAAUUCUGGGUUAGUGGAAACUCUAAAGAUGCAAACACAGCAUGCAAAUUUACACAGAUUUAAAAUUACGCAAUAUACAAAUUGAAAUUACAAUAACAAUAUCACUGUAAGUAUAGUGUAAAUCAUUAAGGGGGCGUUUUCUUCCAUUGACUUAUUUUUAGCACGUGUCACAUCGAAUGUUUAGAUACUAAUUAGGAGUAUUAAACGUAGACUAUUUACAAAACCCAUUACAUAAGACGAAUCUAAACGGCGAGACGAAUCUAUUAAGCCUAAUUAAGCCUAAUUAAUCCAUCAUUAGCAAAUGUUUACUGUAGCAACACAUUGUCAAAUCAUGGACUAAUUAGGCUUAAUAGAUUCGUCUCGCCGUUUAGAUUCGUCUUAUGUAAUGGAUUUUGUAAAUAGUCUAUGUUUAAUACUCCUAAUUAGUAUCUAAACAUUCGAUGUGACGGGUGCUCGGAAGAAAACGGGGCCUAAGAAUCCUAAUGUAUAUGGAAUCCUAAAGUUAGUUACUAAUAUAAUGUAUAACGAAAGGAGAGAGGCAGGAGAGAUCCUUGGCAGGCAGGCAGAGGGUUUGAAUGAGGAGCAGGUCCGGUCGUCAGACCGCAAACUGCUGCCAAAAAAUUAAAUGCGCUGCGAUCUCGCAAAGAUAGGAUAGCACCCCCCACCGCUGUAUCUACUGGUACUCCGACUCGCAAUAAUCACGGGGCGGCGUACCCGCCGCCUGCAGAAAAGAAGCCCAACUUUGAUUUGGAUCAGAACGGAGGAAAAAAAAACAGAUCGUCAGAUCGGACGGUGCCAAAUUCAGGUGACAGGAGCUCGUGAAUCACCCAAGCAACGUAUAGCUUUUCCCCUUAAAAAAGUAUGUCAACCUAUGUACGAUGUAGAGUUACUAGUCGUGACGAAACAAACAUUUACCAAACACACUUGAGCAGAUAGAUCAAUCAACACUUUCCUUCUUCCUUAUUUAUUAUAGAAGUACAAUUCAUAAUUGAUCUAGAAAAGGCCAGAACCAAUGAUUGGUUGCUGCAAGAAAGCGGCAGGGUUCAUCGUAGCAAGUGGGUUGAUACGCAGUAGCUGUUGUUGUUGCCAUAAGGCGGUGGGGUUCAUCGCAGCAAGUGGGUUGAUGCGCAGUAGCUGUUGUUGUUGCCAGAAAGCGGCGGGGUUCAUCGCAGCAACUGGGUUGACACGCAAUAGCUGCUGUUGUUGCCAGAAUGCAGCGGGGUUCAUCGCAGAAAAUGGGUUGACACGUAGUAGCUGUUGUUGUUGCCAGAAGGCGGCGGGGUUGCCAACAGCAAGUGGGUUGAGUGGAAGCAGCUGCUGUUGCUGCAAGUAGGCAUUCUCCACGGCUAGCUGGUUGAAUGGAAGCAGCUGUUGGUGUUGCCAGUAUGCGGCGGGGCUAGCCAAGGAUAGUCGGCUGAAUGGUGAAAGCACCUGGUGUUGUUGUGCCAUGAUGCUCUGUAAUGUCAAAUGCGCCAAGUAUUGCUGCUGCAAUAGGGCGGACUGUUGUUGUAAGAACACGGCCGGUGAUGAUAAGAUGCUUGCCGCGAGAGCCUGUUGUAGCCUGUAGGAUUGCGCAAUUGGGUUUCCAUAUCCCAGUGCUGUCACAUGAGGGAGGUACUGGGGAAUAGCGGCAGAGCACUGCGGAAUAAGGACGGCAGUUGCAGCGCUAGCUGAAAGAGCAAGGAGCACAAGCAGGGUACAUAUCUUGGCCACCAUUGUUGCCACUACGAGGCUGCUAGUGGGGUUUCAAUUUCUGAGUUGCUAAUGGGUCUUAAUGAAAUGGGUGAUAGAUUGGCUACAUAUCCGGGACCUAUUUAUACUCUUGAGAGAUCAUAUAGCUCUAGCAUGAUUUUUGCUUUUCCUAAGCAAAUUAUUAUCUAGAUAACCAAGCCAUGACAUGGUAUCUAGUCAAUUUCAACAUUUUGUGAUUAAUUUUCUUAGGUUGUACGGUAUGUGUUGGCAACAAAAUAUGCACUUAAUAAAAGGAAAAAAGUGACUUUUCUUGUUGGUAUUUUCUUGAUACCGUGGGUGACAAUAUCAUCACAAGUUCACCAUAAGACAUGUGAAGGCAUCGGUCACAUCAUACGCGUUCCACUUUAUUAAAGAGAGUCUUUAAAGUUGUGAUAGGGUGAUGUGGAUCUAAAUCUUUUUAAGCUGAAUUUGUCACCUAUCUAAAGUAGGAUAUGUUCCAAGAGCCAUUACUCAUGGAUGAAAGGGAUAAGGAGACACAUUGUUGAGUGAAAAAUACGCUAUGACGAAAAGAACCCCAAACAUAAUCUAAGAAAGGGAAGGCAGCUGGCGGGCCAACUCAAUUUAUCCAUACACUCAACGCAAGAGCUAUCUUUUUUAGCUAUCUUUUUAGUAGGAGAAACCCAACCUACUUUUUGUACAUUUUUUUAUUCUAGAUCACUUUAAUUUGCUCCCACGGAGAGUCGAACCACUAUACUAGAGGCUCCUCUUCUGAUAGCGUGCAUUCUGGAGAAUUUUCAGUAGGAAGACGGGUCGAUUGUGAUUCAAGAGCCUCCAAGGCCAGUCUCUGUGCACAGUUUUAUUGCACUGAGUCUGAUGGGUUUUAUGGGGAUGAAAUUGCUCUCUCAUCUAAUGAAACUCUCUCUCCUCUCUUAAUGAUCCUGCCAAGUUAGCAAAAUUGCUAAUGUACCAUAGAAUUUAAUGCUAAUGAAACUCACAUGAAAUCCACUAUUGAGACUGGCAUAAUAAGACCCUUUGUGGGUGGACUCAAGGUGCUCACCCCAAAAUCCAAGUGAUCACCUACACAGUCACCCACUGUUAAGCUUGCGGUAUCCGUGAAAAAUUGAGCUGGAUGGAUAACAUACGAGUGAACCGUGGGUCAGUAGAAUAUUGAGUUUUGUGAUUCGGGCUGUUGUUUCAUGACGUGUCCUAAAUGGCCUUGUUUUUGUUCUCGAAUUCAUGUAAAGCUAUCACAACAUUAGAUUGGCCGCCUACUCUGCGUAGCAUUACAAAGAUUAUGCCUUCAAUAGUUCGCUUUGAGGUGGAAGAAUGGAAACAUGUGCACCAUCUUUUCAUUCGUUCAGCUUUUACUUCUAGUUCUCCUUUGAACUUACGGUAAAAAGGCGAAGGUACAAAAAAAUAAAUUUUCUGAAACCUUUGAUAAAUCUCUUCAUCACCAUGAAAGUGGAACAAUGUGUCCCGACCCAAAACGCAGUCCAGAUCGAGCCGGAGUCCCGAUUCAUUGUUCCUGGAUUCGAAUUUCGAAAGGAGAGGUCGCACACUGAUUGACCCCGUAGGCCAUAGCCUCCUCGCACUGCCUCUUUCUUGCUAAAAAAGUCGAGGGCGAGGCACACCGCCGCGGUUCGAUCGUGUACUCAUCCCAAUGUAGAAAAACAAAGCAUUGAGUUCAUCACGACGUAGGCGCAAUAAUGGGGCCGAAGCGAAAGCGACGACGACUGCCGCUACUGGGCGCAACGGGGGCGGCGACGGGGGCCUCCGACAGCGGUGGCCUUGACGGUGGAGUUCCUCAGGUGGUUCCUGGCGCAGAGCAGCGAGGACUACCACGUCCCGGCCCUCGACGACUGCUCGCCGUCGCCGGACGCCGCCGCCGAGGAGAGGGAGACGACGGUCCGCCGGGUGAACACCGACGUCCAGGCCACGAAGGACGGCUUCGCCGCCUUCCAGGCCUGGGUCCACGGCGUCGUCGACAAGGACAGCCGCGUCAUGCUCGGGAGCACGUCCAACCCCCGGGGACUGCAGGAGAUCAUCGUCGCCGAGUGGUCGGAGGUGAGCGGGAGCUCAGCAUGGGGGAUGGAGAUGGAGUCGUCUUCGUCGGUUCUGAUGACGCCGCCGUCAAGGAGGACGGUGAGGGCGCCAUGGCGUCGUCGUCAUCGUCGUCCAAGAUGAGGGUCCCACGCGGCCCGCAUCUGCAAACUCUGUCGAUCUACCUGUCUCUUAUCUACCAGCGCAUGACAUAAGUUUUUGGUUAGUGUCGUCCAUGUCAUGUGACUUCUAUCCAUGUCCUGCCUAAGUUUGGGAUUGAUUAUCGACGAGCACCACGUGUGAAUCUGUGAUGCAUGAGCACUCACACGGAGUUUAAGAAGCUAUCUUGAUGUCUAUGCUACGUUAUUCUCUCGGUACGCACUAUGUCAGAAACGAUUUGUGCUGGCACAUUGAAAUUAGUGUGUUGACAGGUAGAAUUAGCACCUGCCAGCAUAAAGGUGAUCGGGACCGCCGGGCUAGUGCCUGCCAGCACAGAUGGCUCUGUGCCGGUGAGCUAUCUAAGCAUCCGCCAGCACAGAGCCAUCUACUUAUCUCUCUCCAGGAGCGACGCUGGCCGCCCAUCCUUAUCUUCAUUUUAUCCAGGAGCACAGAGUCAUCCUUAUCUACUUCGGUGGGUGGCGGGUGAGGGUGGGAGCGGUGGCCGGUGGGGUGGGCCCGGGCACGGCUUUGGCAGGAGCGGUGGGGCGAUGUGGGGAGGGGGGGGGUGGGGGGGAGGGCGCGGGAGCGGCGGGCGAUGGCGGCCGGUGGGGCGGGCGGCGGACGACAGGUGGGGCGAGCGGCGGGCGGCGGCGACCUGACUGCGACGGGCGACGUGCAUGCUUUUUUUAAUCGAAAAAUCAACUUUCCUGGCGGGUAGCUAACGUCGUCCGUCAGCAUAGAGCGGUCUGUGGUGGUGGGUGCUCCCUCGCCAGCACAAAGCGCCAUUUGUGCUGGCUCCAAAGUUGCUGGCGGGUGCUCGGCCCGCCAGCACAGAGUCUUUUUAGCUGCCAGCACAAAUCUUUUAUGGCCUGGUGAUGUUUGUGUCAACUCUCCUUCUCAAAUUUUCAAUUUACAACAACUUGAGUGAACCGUGGUUGGGUUCACAUUAUCUGCGACAGGAUUACGAGAUUCCAUUGGCAUCCAAAUCCCCUGCUUGAGUGAAGUGUGUAUGCUCGGAGCUACUAUCAUGCUUCAUGAUAUUUGUAUUUCUUAAUAUAUACUAAAAAAGUUCAACCUAUGUACGAUAUAGAGUUACUAGUCAUUUUGGCACAAACAAUUACCAAACACACUUGAGCAUAUAGAACUAUAGAAUCUCAAUCAACACUUUCCUUAUUCCUUAGGAUCACACGCGCCGGCAUAUGAAAUUUAUUAUAGAAGUACAUUUCAUAAUUGAUCUAGAAAAGUCAAGAACUAACGAGUGGUUGCUGCAACAAAGCGGCAAGGUUCAUCGCAGUAAGUGGGUUGACGCGCAGUAGUUGCUGCUGUUGCCAGAAAGCGGCGGGGUUCAUCGCAGCAACUGGGUUGCCGUGCAGUAGCUGCUGUUGUUGCCAAAAAGUAGCGGGGUUCAUCGCAGCAACUGGGUUGACACGCAGUAGCUGCUGUUGUUGCCAGAAGGCGGCGGGGUUAGAGAUAGCCAAUGGGGUGAAUGGCAGCAGCUGCUGUUGCCAGAAGACGGCAGGGUUGCCAACAACCAGUGGGUUGAGUGGAAGUAGCUGCUGUUGCUGCAAGUAGGCAUUCUCCACAGCCAGCUGGUUGAAUGGAAGCAGCUGUUGUUGUUGCCAGUAUGCAGCGGUGCUAGCCAAGGAUAGUUGGCGGAAUGGUGAAAGAACCCGUUGUUGUUGUGCCAUGAUGCUUUGUACUGUCAGAUGCGCCAAGUAUUGCUGUUGCAAUAGGGCGGACUGUUGUUGUAAGAACACAGCCGGUGAUGAUAAGAUGCUUUCCGUGAGCCUGUCGUAGCCUGUAGGAUUGCACAAUUGGGUUUCAUUUCCCAGUGCUGUCACAUGUGGGAGGUAGUAGCCUGUAGGAUUGCACAAUUGGGUUUCCAUUUCCCAGUGCUGUCACAUGUGGGAGGUACUGGGGAAUAGUGGCAGAGCACUGCGGAAUAAGGACGGCAGUUGCAGGGCUAGCUGAAAGAGCAAGGAGCACAAGCAUGGUACAUAUCUUUGCCGCCAUUGUUGCUACUACGAGGCUGCUAGUGGGGUUUCGAUUUCUGAGUUGCUAAUGGAUUUAAUGAAAUGGGUGAUGGAUUGGCUACAUACUCGGGACCUAUUUAUACUCUUGGGAGGUGAUGUAGCCCUAGCAUGAUUUUUCUUUUCCCAAGCUAAUUAUUAUCUACAUAACCAAGCCAUGACAUGGUUUCUAGUAAAUUUCGACAUUUAGUGAUUAAUGUUUUUGGGUUGUACGGUAUGUGUUGGCAACAAAAUGUGCACUUGAUAAAAGGAAAAAAGUGACUUUUCUUGUUGGUAGUUUCUUGAUACCGUGGGUGACAAUAUCAUCACAAGUUCACCAUAAGACAUGUGAAGGCAUUGGCCACAUCAUACAUAUUCAAGUUUAUUAAAGAGAGUAUAAAUUUGUGAUAUGGUGAUGUGGAUCUAAAUCUUUUUAAGCUGAAUUUGUCACCUAUCUAAAGUAGGAUAUAUUUCAAGAGCCAUUACUCAUGGAUGAAAGGGAUAACGUCAGGUGAUGUUGUUGAGUGUAAAAUAAGUUAUGACGAAAACAACCUCAAAAAUAAUUAAGCCAAGAAACGGAAGGCAGCUUAACAUUUUUGGUUUCAAAUCCCUACGUGCUCUACGUUUGGAGGAUCUGCGAAUUCCCCCUACUUAUUCAAAAACUUUCCAAGGUCCGCCUCACGGUAUCCAGUUGAAAGGGAUAAGUUGCACAAGUAUGGUCGUCCUUUAUUGGGAUGUACUAUUAAACCAAAAUUGGGAUUAUCCGCAACAAAAUUAGGGUAGAGCGUGUUAUGAUGUCUACGCGGUGGACUUAAUUUUACUAAAGAUGAUGAAAACGUAAACUCACGACCAUUUAUGCGCUGGAGAGACCAUACACUCAACGGAGAAUUUUCAACAAGUAUGCAUUCUUGAGAAUUUUCAACAAGACGACGGGUUACCGGUGCCUCUUCUAAGGGCGUUCUUAGUGCACAGUUUUGUUCCACUAUUACCAAGACUGAGGACUUGUAAUUAAGGGCCUGAUGGGUUUUUUAGGAUGAAAUUCUUCUCUCAUCUGAUGAAACUCCCCCGCCUCUCUUAAUGAUCUUGCCAAAUCAGUAAAAUUGUUGAUGUGGUAUAGAAUUUAAGUAGAAAAAGAGUGCGCACAUAACGUUGAUGUUAGUGCACGGUGGUUCCUUCCAUGAUGUUCAAUUAUAAUUUGGGCAAGUUAUAAGGAAAUCUGUAAAAGUAACAAACGAUUAUUGUAUUAGGGCAAGUGCCACUGGUCGAAAAACAGGCAUUAGUCCCGGUUGGAUAGGCUAAUAUAUCUCGAAAAUCCAACCAGGACUAAUCUUUCAAGACUAAAGCCUCCCUUAGUCCCGGGUCAUUCGCCUAGGACUAAAGAGAAUUCUGGAUAAAAAGAAAAAAGAUCUUUAGUCAUAGUUGAUAAUAUCAACCGGGACUAAAGAAUUUUUUCUUUUUACCUGAAUUAUUUUCCAUAUUAAUGCUAAUUGUUGCUUCACUUAUAUAUACACCUCUACGUAUACAUCCUUAGUGUAAACUACUUACACGUGUAUGCACAUAUUGUAUGCAUAUCGUAUAUAUAUUUCAUGAUAGUAUAUGCAUAAUAUUAAUUUUAACUACUAUAUAUACAAUUCUUAGUAUAUUAUACACAUCAAACUAGUAUUAAUACCAUUACUGUAUAUAGAAUAAUUUAUCCUCGUAAUUCUUAGGAUCCUCCCGUCGUGGUGUUGCUCGGUUUGGCUACUGAAUAUCCAUCGUAAUAAAAUUCUUCUGGGGAAUUAUCACCUCGUCCACCAUAAAUCCUAUGAGUGCUUCUUGGAUUGCCAAAAGCCUUUCCUUCUCCGAGAGUUCUUCACAAAUCUACCGCAUCUGUAAUUUGGAAAUAUGUGAAUGUUACACCAACAAUUAAAUAAAAGGAGAUAGAAAAUGAUUAAUAAUUAAUAUGUUUAUUUUACGUACCUUGUCCAUUAUGAAAUGGUGUAUGUGCUCAUAAACGUAGUAUCCACAUAAAUUAUUCCCUUGUUCCUAUCUCAAGCACUUUAGUAAAAAAAAUAAGUUAUGAAAUAUUCGUGCUAUAUAUUUGAAUUAAGAUAGAAAAGGCAGUAGGGUUUGCGUAGUGCUAUGAACCCUUUUACUCUAGCUAUGGUAUGUUCACGCUUUUUGUCUUACUUUCUAGGAUUAUCAUUAUUAGAUGAUGCGAGUGCAUGCUUGGUGCGGCUUCGAUGGAGGCAUCAUUCCGAUGGCAUUUAAUUCAAGAGAAUUUUAGGAGGCGAUGUAUCAGAUGGACUUGUGUUACAUGUUCCCUUUUGGGUUGUUUGAGAUAUGCAUUAAAUACUCAAUAACAAACGCUUAGCUUCUGCAUUUCAGGCACAAACAAAGGCUUAGCUUCUGCAUUUCAGGCACAAACGAGAACCCACAAUAUCGAUGAUGUUGGGUAGCCCCUAUUGGAUAGAGAAUAUCUCUCUCUAUAUAUAUAGAUCUAUUUUUUUUUGCCAGCCACAAAAUAAGCUAUUCUGUAGCCAGACCAUCUAACUGUCCAAUCGAGCUCAUCCACCCCACGUACGGGGUUACAAAUCGGGCGAGCCGGCGACGAGCCCAGCGAAGCGAGUCGAGCGCGAGCGGAAUAACGAGACGUGAGGCUCAUCCAGCUGACCAGAGACCACAAAUCACGCCCUUUCCUUUCCAGUUGACCAAAGAAAUCCCCAAAUCCCUGUCAACUGCCCGGUGGACGGUGGCGCGGCCCGGUGGCCCGGCGACCUCCGCUGCCCCCUCCCUCCACCCUGCCGACAGGGUAGCAGCCCCCCUCGGACCCUCCCCGCUCGUCUGCGACCAUGCACGUGCGGCUGCGGAUCCCCUCGGUGCGAGCGGCGUCGACCUGGUGGCAAAACGGUGGUGGCGGCAGCACCCUCUCGUCCUGGAUUCAGAGGCGGCAGCACCCUCUCGUCCUAGUGGCGAAGCGGUGGCCAGCGGAGAAGUGGAUUAAGAGGUUAUGGAUUUUGAUUGUCCAAUGGUUAUGUUUGUAAUUGGAAAGGAUCAAUCCUCUACAACGGAGGGUUUUUGUAUAUAUAUUCAAUUAAACUUGAGCAACAUCUUCACUAUGCGCCCGUUGUGUGGCUGCGCUGUCCAUCUAGUUAAGUAUGCUUGUUCGGAGCUACUUUCCCAAUUCUUGAUAUUUGUUUCUUAGUACAUACAUAAUCAAGUACGUCUCUGAAGGUACGAUGUACAAUUUUUGGUGGUUGAUGACUAUGGUACGAACAAUUACAGAAUACACUUGGACAACAUAGGACAAUAGAAUCUCAACCAACACUUUUCUUAUUUCUUAGGAUCACACGAGUCGGCAUGCAAACUUUAUUAUAAAAGUACAACAAAUAAUUGAUCUAGCAAAGGCCAGAACCAAUGAUUGGUUGCUGCAAGAAGGCAGCGGCGUUCAUCGCAGCAAGUGGGUUGACACGCAGUAGCUGCUGUUGUUGCCAGAAGGCGGCGGGGUUGGUGAUAGCUAGUUGGUUGAAUGGAAGCAGCUGUUGCUGGAAGGCAUUCGCCGAAGCUAGCUGGUUGAAUGGAAGCAGCUGUUGUUGUUGCGAGAAGGCAUUCGCCAAAGCUAGCUGGUUGAAUGGAAGAAGCUGUUGUUGCUGCGAGAAGGCAUUCGCCAAAGCUAGCUGGUUGAAUGGAAGCAGCUGUUGUUGCUGCGAGAAGGCAUUCGCUAAAGCUAGCUGGUUGAAUGGAAGCAACUGUUGUUGUUGCCAGUAUGCUGCUGGGCUAGUCAGGGCUAGUUGGCUAAAUGGUGACAGAACCUGUUGUUGCCAGUAUGCGGCAGGGCUUGCCAAGGAUUGAUGCUGCCACAGGGCAGACUGUUGUUGUAAGGACAUGGCCGGUGAUGAUAAGAUGCUUGCUGCAAGAGCCUGCUGCAGCCUGUAGGGCUGCACAAUUGGGUUUCCAUAUCCUAGGGCUGUCAGAUGUGGGAGGUACUGGGGAAUAGUGGAGCACUGUGGAAUAAGGAUGGCAGUGGCAGCGCUAGCUGAAAGAGCAAGGAGCACAAGGAGGGUACAUAUCUUGGCUGCCAUUGUUGCUAUUAUGAGGCUGCUAGUGGGUUUCAAUUUCUGCUACUGGGUCUCAAUGAAAUGAGUUAUGGAUUAACUACAUAUCCGAGACCUAUUUAUACUCAUGAGAGAUCAUGUAGCUCUAGAAUGAUUUUGGCUUUUCCCAAGCUAAUUAUUAUCUAGAUAACCAAGCCAUGACAUGGUAUCCAGUCAAUUUCGACAUUUAGUGAUUAAUUUUCUUAGGUUGUACGGUAUGUGUUGGCAACAAAAUGUGCACUUAAUAAAAGGAAAAAGUGACGUUUCUUGUUGGUAUUUUCUUGAUACCGUGGGUGAGAAUAUCAUCACAAGUUCACCAUAAGACAUGUGAAGGCAUUGGCCACAUCAUGCAUGUUCCACUUUAUUAAAGAGAGUCUGUAAAGUUGUGAUAUGGUGAUGUGGAUCUAAAUCUUUUUAAGCUGAAUUUGUCACCUAUCUAAAGUAGGAUAUAUUUCAAGAGCCAUUACUCAUGGAUGAAAGGGAUAACUUCACGUGAUGUUGUUGAGUGUAAAAUAAGUUAUGACGAAAACAACCUCAAAAAUAAUUAAGCCAGGAAAGGGAAGGCAGCUAACAUUUUUGGUUUCAAAGCCCUACGCGCUCUACGUUCGGAGGAUCUACGAAUUCCCCCUACUUAUUCAAAAACUGAUGUGGAUCUAAAUCAUUUUGAGCUGAAUUUGUCAUCUAUCUAAUAUAAGGUAGGAUAUGUUCUAAUUGCAACCGGUGGGGAUAUAUUGUACUGGUCUAUACAGUAUACUUACAUAUUUUAGGGCUAUAAAUCUAUAUCUAUGAGUCGCUUAAAGUAGCACGAGUACCGCUUGUGCACACCAUGAUGGCGUAAAAGUCCAAUUGCAAUCUAUAUUGAUACAUUCCACCUGGUCUAUAUGUAUAUGGCCAUCUAUAUGAAGUUUUCUCUCUUCUCGCGUGGUAUUUCUAUAAGAAGUUGGUAGAUUUUGUCUACGCAUGUGUUGGAAUCCAUCCUAUCUUAUAGUACUAAUUAACAUAUAACUAUUUUUCAAUAUCUCUGUUUUUUGGGUAAUCAAAGUUCAUUAGUGAAACCAUUAUGUACCGUUAAAAACAUUGGAUGUGUUUACAUUAAAAAUUUAAAUCAUUAUAACUUUCAGGGUUCUGCACAGUGCAACGUCCGAGGUUUGUAGGCAUGGGGCGUCUAAACCAUAGCCAAAGGGGCUGCCAGGCUUAGCUGAAUUUAUCUGUAUACUCCCUCCAAGAAUUCACAAUAGUUGUUAUUUUAUCAAGUUUAAGGGCAUAAUCUAUGUGGCUUGAUGAUCAAGUUUAGUGGGCAUAAUCUAUAGGAAGAAGAGCCAAAAGCUUCUAAGGAUUCUAGGAGAAGCCUAAAGAUAGAUUAGGAUACAAGGAACUCCAAAGAUAUUUAAGCCUCGAUAAAAAAUUUAGAAGCUUCAAGUAAAAUAAACUAAAAAAUAGAAAAAAACGAAGGGCUAAAAAUAGUAAUGUGCUAGCCUAUGGAGUGCCUGCAUUGGAGCCCCGCCAUUGCAUGGGUGCAUCGUGCAUGAACUUUGGCACGUGCUCUAGUUGUUACCACCAUGGUGCAUGGUAGCAGUGGAGCUAUAUCCCAUCUAGGGAUCACCACUUAUAUUUCUUGUGAAGUCACCAGCGAAGAAAUGGGCCUAUCAUACUUUUUAGGGUUUAUUAUUGUGAAAAGUUUCCACUAAAAAAGAUUGAGAAAACACAUGGUUAUGCUCUUGGAGAUUUCUAGAAUUUUUGGUAAAUUUAUGGCAAAAUAGGCACUUCGGUCCAUGAACUUUGCACGGAUGGUACGGUCAAUUUCGUCCCCAACUUUCAGAUUGGCCAAUUUAGUCAAAAUCAUUAUGGUAAAGUUGAGGGAUGAAGUUGACCCUUUGUGUAAAGUUUAGGGACCAAGAUGCCUAUUUUGCCUAAGUUUAUUGGAGUUUUUGUGUUACUUAUAUGGAGGGAAUUGAUGAGAGGGAAUGGGAGUUUAUGGGGAGGAGACUAAAAGUCCCUUUGUUUUAUUCAUGGGAUAGGGAAUUAGUCUGGGAUGGGGAAAGGUCAGGAGUUGAUGGGAGGAAUUCCCAACGACCUCUUCCCUGGCCGGGAACCCUGGUAAUUCAUAGAUGCGGUAGGGAGUUUGAUGUGCAAUGACGGGAAUACCGGCCCCUGGCUUUAUCGCAUCUGGCAGCAAAUCUGCCGCCGCGAGAUUGCUGUCGUCCGGUGGCUGAGCCGCUCGCCCCCGGCGGUGCUCAGGCGAGCGUAGCGCUGCGGCACUGCAGGGCAGCCGGUGUGUGGAGGUGAAGUGGAAGCCGACAGCCAGCCAUCCCAUGUCGGCCGAGCAGCUCGCCCCCGGCGGUGCUCAGGCGGACGACAGGGCUGCUGGGUGGCGGGCGUGCGGUUGGAGUAAUGAGUAUAAAAUAGCUGACACGUGGGCCCUAAAGGAACUUCAUGGAUCACCCUAAAAGUCGGACUGUUGGAUAUAUGGACUGUCUCUUGCACUGUUUGUGUGGAUGAGGUGGAAGUGACACGUGGAUCCGGCUCAACUGUUGGAGAAGGCCAAGUAAGCUUCACACAGUUGCGGCAGGAGAAAGUGACGCAUCUGCUUUUCUGGCCUGGCUCCUUUUCUCCUCUGCGGUGGUAGAAAGGACACAUCUCCUGGUCUGCCUCCUUUUCCAUUGGUGGAAAACAGACCUUUAGUUCCGGUUGGUAGGGGUCAUAGACCCCGAAAAUCCAUCCAGGACUAAUUAUUCGAGACAAAGGGGGUCCUUUAGUCUCGGGCCUUUAUCCUGAUUGGUAUUCCCAACCGGGACUAAAAAGUUUCAAAGUAAAUAAAAAAAGCCCGCUCUGCCGGUGCCGCUCCCCCCGUGCCGCUCUGCUCCGCCCCGGCGCCGCUCCGCUCGCUACGCGCCGGGCCCGUGCCUGCGCCCGCCAAUGCCAUGGCGGCACUGCUCCGUCCGCGCAGGGCCCGGGCCACGCCGCACCGCCCGUCCUCCCUCUGCUCCCUCCCCGCCUCCCCGGCCUCCUCCUCCCUACGGGCGAGGGCGGUGCGGCGUGGAGGAAGGGAUGAGCUGAGGGAGAAGGAGAGUAGCGCAGGAGAUAAGGAGAGAGAGGGGUGGAGAGGGAUGGGCGCAUGUCCUUAGGAGAUAAGGGUGGGUGCGGGUCGCUAGACAGGGGAGAGAGAGAGGAGUUGGAGAGGUGGAUAAAUUCUAGUUAGUGGCUCCAACAGGGACUAAGAGGAUCCUUUUAGUCUCGGUUGGUAGCAUCAUUUAUCUAGGUUGGUGGCUCAAACCGGGACUAAAAAGCAUCCUUUUAGUCCAGGUUGGAGCCACCAACCGGGACUAAUUCAUUUUAUCUCGGUUGAUGGCUCCAACCGGGAUUAAAAGCUCCACUUUUGUCUCGGUUGGAACCACCAACCGGGAUUAAAAGGGCUCCGUCGAUAUACAAAAUUUAGACCCGUGACUAAAGGUCCUUUAGUCCCGGGUCCAAAGUGAUCCAGGAUAAAAGCUACCGGAUGGAAGGUCAGUUCUCUACUAGUAUUCUCCUCUCGCCUAUCUGUUUGUUUUUUCAGAUUUUGGCAGCAAGGGGUGAAAAGUAUUUUGCUGGUUGAAGUGGAGACCAAAAGCUGCAGGUGCAAAUCAUUCUAAAAUGUUUGAAUUAACAUAGAAAAGGUGGUGGGUUUGCGUAGUGCUAUGAACCCUUUUACUCUAGCUAUGAUUAUUUUCAUGAUUUUUGUCUUACUUUUUAGGAUUAUCAUUAUUAAUUAGAUGAUGCACGUGAUAUUAAUCACUCACUGUAGAACGUAUCGGACUCUAAUUUCAACAUACAUGCUCCACAUUGUCGGUGCAGCUUCGAUGGAGGCCUCGGGUCCAGUGACAUAUAAUCCAAGAGAAUUUUAAGAGGAAAUCAUAAGCCAAGGUAUCAGAAUACUUGUGUUUGAAGUUCCCUUUUGAACUGUUUGAUAUGUUCAUUCAAUAGUCAAUAGCAAAGGCUGAGGUUGUGCAUUUUAAGGCACAAGCAAACAUCCACGAUUUCGACAAUAUUGGGGGUUCAAACCUAGUACAAAUUUAACACAUGCAUAUUCAAAUAUACUUGUACAUUUUAUGAUUUUCCAAUAGCACGGGGACAGAGAUGGAGUUGUCGCCGGUUCUGAUGACGUCGCCGCCAAGGACGGUGAGGGUGUCAUGGCGUCUUCGUCGUCGUCCAAGAUGAGGGUCGCAUGCGGCCCGCAUCUGCAAACUCUGUCGAUCUACCUGCCUCUGUUCUACCAGCGUAUGACAUAAGUUUUUGGUUAGUGUCGUCCAUGUCACGUCUAUCCACGUCCUAUGUUUGGGAUUGAUUAUCGAUGAACACCAUGUGGGAGUGUGUGUGAUGCAUGAACACUCAUACGUAGUUUAAGAAGCUACCUUGACAUGUCGUCUCUGUUACGUUAUUCUUUCGGUACAUUUGUAUCAAAUUCUCCUUUUCAAAUUUCAAAUUUACAGAGGGAACAACAACAUGAUUUAUUAGGAGAUUCCAUUAUACUCCUUCCGUUUCAAAUUAUAGGUCGUUUUAGCUUUUCUAGAUUCAUAGACAUUAUUAUGCAUCUAGAUAUAGGCUAUAUCUAGAUGCAUAGUAAAAAUUAUGCACCUAGAAAUACCAAAACAAUCUACAAUUUAGGAGAGGGAGUACUGAAAAAAGUAUGUCAACCAUUGUACGAUAUAAAGUUACAAGUCAUUACGGCACAAACAAUUACCAAACACACUUGAGCAGAUAGAACUAUAGAAUCUCAAUCAACACUUUCCUUAUUUCUUAGGAUCUAAAUCGUUUUGAGCUGAAUUUGUCAUCUACCUAAAGUAGGAUAUGUAUGAAGAGUCAUUACUCAUGGAUGAAAGGGAUAACAUCCUUUGUUAGAGGAGAAGUUGUUGAGUAACAAAUGAGCUAAGACGAAAACAACCCCCAAGUUAUUCAGCACGUAGCCGCUCAAAUAAGAACUAUAGCUUUUGCACACCGUGGUUUCAAUGGAAUCCGGCUAAUUGCGGCUGGCGCGGAUAUUCCAUCUGGUAUGUAUAUACGCUCACAUAUUUUAGGGCUAUCUAUCUAUAUAUCUAUAAGUCGCUCAAAGUAGGAGGACUACCGCUUGUCCACAGCAUGGUUGCGGUUGAGUCCAAUUGCGGCCGUUGCGAAUAUAUUCCACGUGGUUUACUCAUAAACUAAGUUGUAGGGCCAGCUAUAUGAAGAUUUUUUCUCUUUUGGCCAAACAGUUUCAUACUUGCCUGUUAUGGACUUUAUUAGUCUUGUUUUCAGGGUCACGGUGUGUUAACCCCGGCGUACGUAGUCAAGCUCAAAAAUACCGAAAAGCUUCUAGAAUGUAUAGGAGUUGUCCUAAUGAUACAAUAGUACACAAGGAACUAAAAAAAUAUUUAAGCCUUGAUAAAAAAAAUCAAAACUUAAAAAAUAACUAAUAGUAAAGUUUAUGCCGGUCCUUAAACUUAUUGAUGAUGAUCUUUUAUAUUGUAGGCAAUAUUUUAGCUUGUUGGUGCAGAUGACAGCCGGCGCCGUGCUCUAUUAUUCUUGGAAUGCUAUUCAAAUUCGAAUUUGAAUAACUUAUAGUUGCACUUACCAAACUAAAAAUCAUCUAAAAAUCAUGAGCUUAUAAGCUCCGUAAAUUACCAAAUGAAUACCGGGAAAAGCUAAAAGGUGCGAUAAAAAAAGUCAGGAAAUGUGCUAAUGAAGUAGUCGUAUGAUUGAAAGAACAAAUUUGAUCUUCUAAUGUCCUUUUGAUGGUAUGACACAUCAUGUAAACAGUAUAGGCACUCAAAUAGCAUCCGCAACCAAGUUUAGGAGGGCAUAUAUGCAUUUUGAGAGUAUAUAGGGACCUAAAUGACAUCCGAGGUCAUGUUUAGACAGCUAGGUCUGCAUUUUAAGAGACAAGUUUAAGGACCCAUGCACUUUAUUAAUUAUUGAACAAACUACAAACUACAAUAUAGAAUAACGAAAGGGCUAAAAGUUACAAUGCAGUACCCUCGGGAGCGCGUGCGUUGGAGCCCCGCCAUUGCAUGGGUGCCAGCACUUGGCACGUGGUCUAGUUGUUGCCACCAUGGUACAUGGCCAGCAAUGGAGCUAUAUCCCACAUUCCCACCUAGGGAUGACCACUUAUGUUUCUUGUGAAGUCACCAGCGAAAUGGGCCUAUAAUACUUUUUAUGGUUCAUUAUUGUGUAAAUUUUCUACUAAAAAAGGUUAAGAAAACACAUGGUUAUGCUCUAGGAGAUUUCUACAUUUUUUUGGUGAAUUAUGGGAUUUUUUGUGUAACUAAAGGAAAGGCUUAAAGUAAAUCGAGAGUCCUACACCUUUUAAGUUUGGCACAUCACGAAUGUGAUGUUGUAUACUCGUAUGUGCCAUCCGAAGAACCAGUCAGUCCGGCUCGAGACGGAGUCGGCAUCGACUCUCGCCUGGGAAGGAGCUGUAGUCCGAGGGACGCACGGACUACCUUCCCUUAUCGGACACGAGCUGAGCCUGCUCCGCUAUAUAUCGCGCGAGUUACUUCCCUUACAGUCCUCAGUUUCAACUUUCAAUAACAAGAAGAAGCAGUGUCGUCGUGUCGAUCAAGAGCUCCGGCCGGCGUCGUCGUCAUCAAGCUCGGAGAGGCAGGCGGCGCGACGAUGGCUUCAGGAGGCGGCGACGGAGCCGCGAUGGUGAAGAUGGUCGACAUGCCGGUGGAGUACCUCCUGUGGGUGCUGGCGCAGGACAAGGAGGACUACCGCGUGCCGACGCUCGAGGACUACACGCGGGAGGAGAUCGCCGAGUCCGGCGCGGAGGCGAUCCUCGGAGUCAUCGGCUCGCUGCAGGUGGCGUACGACGAGUUCGCCGACUUCCGAGCAUGGGUGCUCGGCGUGCUCGGCGAGGACGGCCGCGUCAUGAUCCGGGAAGACAUGCUCUUCUCCGACCCCGACGAGUGGCAGGAGAUCGUCGACAGCGAGUGGGCGGAGGCGCGGCAGGAGUUGGUGGACGGGGAGACGACCACGACGGGUCCGCUUGGCACGCACACGUAUGUGUUGUCGACGUACCUGUCUAUGUUGUAUCAGUAUGCGGCGCCCGUGCGGACGUUUUGGGGAAUCUAGGCAUAGGGUAAAGAAAAGUAUAGGCCGAUAGGGAUCGUUGGAGCCACUGGCUCGUUUUAUCCUCUUCUCAUCUUGUUUUUCCUUUUUCCACGUAUGCAGAUGAUUUUCUAAGUAAUUUUGUAUAAGACUGCAUUUAGAAAAAUGUCGUAGGACAAGUUUUAUACACUUUCCAUCUUGUUUUUAUUUUUUUGCCUUCCACGGUGGAUGCAUGCAAUGGGUUUUGUAAGAGUAAAGACUGAUUAAUGAUAGGUAACCAGAAGCGAGAGCGAGCGACUCAAUGCAGUGCAAGAGUGCAACAUGCAGCCGGCCAAGGCAUCCACGCCAGCCAGAAAACGAUUGCAAUACUCAACACUCGUUAAGCGUGAAGAAUGCGAGGCUACUCAAUACUCAACACUCGUUAAUCAAGCUGCUUGCGUGCCGGGAACAAAUCACUCCUCGCUCACUGCUGCUGCUGCUGAUAAAGGUCUCCUGGCUACGCUAAUUAUUUGUUUUGAUUUUGAUUGACCUGGGUAACCUGAGGUUCUCCACUAUGAAUGUAUCAUCGAACCUCACGAACUCAAAAGUGCAGCUUCUUCGAGGCAUCCUUUACCCCAGCACAACAGGGAACACACCACGUCAAACACCUUGUGAGCACUGCAACUCAGGGUGCAGGCCGGGCAGGUAGCCCAGUGUCUGCCAUGACGUACGCGGCCAAUCGCCAUGGCUGCAGAUGGAACACCUCCGUGCCGGUGGCGGUGGGUCAGAACUCAGUAGCUGACGCAUUUGCUACCGAUCGAACAUCGCCAGAUCAAGCUCAAGAGGAUCGCAUUCGACAAUAGGUGAGGCUGAGGCAGUACCUUGACUGCGACGGCUGGGUCUGUGAUGUGCUCGAGCGCCGCAGCAGCAACGCCAUGAACUCUCUGCAGGGCGGAGGCAACAGUGUAAUUGGCCGGGCGUUGAAGCAGCAUCUACUUGCUCUGGCUACGCUCCGUCCCCGCAAUCGACUUGCCCCGCGACCUGGCCGGCGAGCCGGCGACAGUCAGUCGCCGCAACCGCCGCCGUCUUUUGGCUUGGAGGGAUUCAGCCGUUUUCUCGGGGGAAAGAGAUCCAGCUGUUCCUGCUGCGAGGAUGCGGGUCCGGGAGAGUUGUGGCAUCCUGUCCACAAAUUUGGUGGGCUUUGCGUGGCUGUGCUGUCCCGUCCAGUGAAAUCUGAACUUUCGGAGAUACUGAACCGCCUCACGGUAUUUGCAUGAUGUAAUAUGUACUUAAAUCAUGUAAUGGCUCCAUAGGUACGAUACAUAAUAUUUGGUAGUUGUCGAAUGUAUGGCACAAAGAAUUACGAAACAAAUUUGGACACAGAUAGGACUUCAUAAUCUCAACCAAUACUUUUCUUGUUGUGUGGUAACAAUGGAUCGGAUUAAAACCUAGACUCUUUUGUUUUCCAUAUAUACUCAGGAACCAAUUUCAUCGGUGCACAACAACAUGAGACACUGGCGCUCAACUUAACCGUAUCAUAUUUCCAUUCAAUUCUUGGGUGCGACAUGCCUAUGGCUACAAAGAAGAUGAUAUUCCGACCCUAUACGCUACCUAUAUUAAACUAUUACGCCGGCUAAAAGUGUUGUAUCGUUCACUUUAUGAAUUUGAAUAAUGACUUUUGAGAUGUUUGCACAAGAUAACAUGAAGCGCAAUGAGUCCUUCGUCUAAGCUCAUCAGCACCAUUUUACGGCAACAUGUGAAUCAAACAUGUAACAAAUAAAAUUUUAAAUAAUGAUGUCUGGUUUAUGAGCAUGUAUUGUUCCCCAUCAUGCUAGCAACGUAGACUAUUGUGAUACGUGUGUUAUGUUAUAUACUUGGGUUGAACCUGUUUUGCCAAAAAUUUAUGUCCAUUCUUGAGAGAGGUUUCAUGCGUCAAAUUGGUAGAAUCAAGAAGUCGUGGGCCAUAGCAAGGUCAAUUUUUUUUGCGUUCCUAGGAUUUAUCCAUGCCCAUAUCUUCACUGUAUAUGGAAGCAUGCAUGACUUUUUGCUAGAAAAAAAUAUUGAUCAUGUGUGUAAAGAUGAUAUAAGUACGAAAUAAGAUGUAAUGACUUUAUCGAAAAAUUUUGGGCUCAACUUUGGCCUUCUUCGUGAGAACUAUGUUAUACUCAGGGAUUUCAGUGGCAAUGAUUGAAACAUGUAGAUAUACUGGCAUAUAACAUGCACAAUAAUAAUUAGUGAUGUUGACCAAUUCUCUCUCCUAUGGAACAUUCGAAACAACCAUUGUGUUAUCUUAAGUCCUACUACGCGCCCGUGGCAUGGCUGUGCUGUCCCAUCUAGUGAAAUCUGAACUUUCGGAGAUACUGAACCGCCUCACGGUAUUUGCAUGAUGUAAUAUGUACUUAAAUCAUGUAUGGCUCCAUAGGUACGAUACAUAGUAUUUGGUAGUUGUCGAAUGUAUGGCACAAAGAAUUACGAAACACAUUUGGACACAGAUAGGACUUCAUAAUCUCAACCAAUACUUUUCUUAUUUUCGGGGAGUCACCCAUGUCCUCAUGCAAACAUAAUUAUUCAAGUACAACUCAUAAGUAAUCUAGAAGAGGGCAGAACCAACGAUGGGUUGCUGCAAGAAGGCGGCGGGACUCGUCAAAGCUAGUUGGUUGACUAGCUGUUGCUGCUGCCAGAAGGCGGCGGGGUUUGCCAAUGCAAGUGGGUUCAAUGGUGACAGUUGCUGCUGCAAGAUGGCGGCUGGGUUCACAGCAGCCAGUUGGUUGAACGGAAGCAGCUGUUGUUGCUGCAAGAAGGCAGCGGGGUUCGCCAGGGCCAGCUGGUUGAACGGGAGUAGCGUCUGUUGUUGCAAGUAUGCGGCGGGGUUCGCCAAGGCUAGUUGGUUCAACGGUGAUAGAAUGCGUUGUUGCUGUGCCGUGAUGCUCUGUACUGUCAGAUGAGAUAGGGAUUGCUGCUGCAAUAAGGCCGACUGUUGUGGUAGGAACAUGGCCGAUGAUGGUAGGAUGCUUGCUGCAAGUGCCUGCUGUAGCCUGUAGGAUUGCACAAUUGGGUGUUCAUACCCAAGAGCUGUGUAAGGUGAGAGGUACUGGGGAAUUGUGGCUGCGGCGGCGGCUACUGAGCACUGUGGGACAAGGACCGCGGUAGCAGCGCUCACUGAAAGAGCAAGGAGCGCAAGGAAGGCAAAUAUCUUGGCUGCCAUUGUUGCUAAGAGGUUGGUUGUCGGUUUCAAUGUCUAUGUAGCUAGAUUGAUGGGUGAUUGGAAUACCUACACAACAUUUGGGGCCUAUUUAUAGGCAUGAGAGCUCAUGUAGCUUUAGCAAGAUUUUUGCUUGUGCCUUGCAAAUCGCUAGCUUGAUAAACUAGAGACGACAUGGUAUCUAGUCAAUUUUGGCAUUUAGUGAUAAAUACCCUUGUGUUGUAAUGCAUGUGUUGGCAAGACAACUUGCAGUUGUACAAGCAAAAAAGUGUCUUCUUCUGUUGGUAUUGUCUUUGUGACAACAUCAUGGUCGGUUCACCUUUAAACACGUGAAAGUCUUAGCCACAAAAAUAUGUGUUCCACUUUGUUAAAGUUGGUUUGUAAAGCUGUGAUUUGCUGGUGUGGAUCCAAAUCAUUUUGAGCUUCAUUGUUCAUCUAACUCGGAUAGGAUUUGUUCCAUGAGCCAAUCCUCAUGGAUGAUAGAGGUAACACACUAGUUCUAGAAGAAGUUAUCAAGUAAGUAAUGAGCCAAUACACAAGAACCUAGAUUAAGUCAGUAUUGUAAGUCAUGCAAACAAGGUGUUUGCGUUGUGGUUGCGAGGAAUCCGUUUGCAAUCGGUGUGGAUAUAUUGCACCAGAUCUACGCAUGCAUAUGUUAGAGCUAUCUCUCUAAAGGUGAAAGUCGCUCAAAGUGGGAGGACCGCUGCUUGUGCACAUUGUAGUUUCCCAAGAUUCUACUUUUGACAUAUUUGAAUGUAUUCUACCUUGUCUACACAUACAUAUUGUAGGGCCAUCUAUAUCGAUCCAUAGGAAGUUUUUUUUCCUGCUUUUGCAUAAUAUUUCUAUGAAAAGUUGAAGAUAGUGUUUCUGGAUGUGUGGUAACAAUGGAUCGGAUUAAAACCUAGACUCUUUUGUUUUCCAUAUAUACUCAGGAACCAAUUUCAUCGGUGCACAACAACAUGAGACACUGGCGCUCAACUUAACCGUACCAUAUUGCCAUUCAAUUCUUGGGUGCGACAUGCCUAUGGCUACAAAGAAGAUGAUAUUCCGACCCUAUACGCUACCUCUAUUAAACUAUUACGCCGGUUAAAAGUGUUGUAUCGUUCACUUUAUGAAUUUGAAUAAUGACUUUUGAGAUGUUUGCACAAGAUAACAGGAAGCGCAAUGAGUCCUUCGUCUAAGCUCAUCAGCACCAUUUUACGGCAACAUGUGAAUCAAACAUGUAACCAAAAAAUUUUAAACAAUGAUGUCUGGUUUAUGAGCAUGUAUUGUUCCCCAUCAUGCUAGCAACGUAGACUAUUGUGAUACGUGUGUUAUGUUAUAUACUUGGGUUGAACCUAUUUUGCCAAAAAUUUAUGUCCAUUCUUGAGAGAGGUUUCAUGCGUCAAAUUGGUAGAAUCAAGAAGUCGUGGGCCAUAGCAAGGUCAAUUUUUUUUGCGUUCCUAGGAUUUAUCCAUGCCCAUAUCUUCACUGUAUAUGGAAGCAUGCAUGACUUUUUGCUAGAAAAAAAUAUUGAUCAUGUGUGUAAAGAUGAUAUAAGUACGAAAUAAGAUGUAAUGACUUUAUCGAAAAAUUUUGGGCUCAACUUUGGCCUUCUUCGUGAGAACUAUGUUAUACUCAGGGAUUUCAGUGGCAAUGAUUGAAACAUGUAGAUAUACUGGCAUAUAACAUGCACAAUAAUAAUUAGUGAUGUUGACCAAUUCUCUCUCCUAUGGAACAUUCGAAACAACCAUUGUGUUAUCUUAAGUCCUACUACGCGCCCGUGGCAUGGCUGUGCUGUCCCAUCUAGUGAAAUCUGAACUUUCGGAGAUACUGAACCGCCUCACGGUAUUUGCAUGAUGUAAUAUGUACUUAAAUCAUGUAUGGCUCCAUAGGUACGAUACAUAGUAUUUGGUAGUUGUCGAAUGUAUGGCACAAAGAAUUACGAAACACAUUUGGACACAGAUAGGACUUCAUAAUCUCAACCAAUACUUUUCUUAUUUCCGGGGAGUCACCCAUGUCCUCAUGCAAACAUAAUUAUUCAAGUACAACUCAUAAGUAAUCUAGAAGAGGGCAGAACCAACGAUGGGUUGCUGCAAGAAGGCGGCGGGACUCGUCAAAGCUAGUUGGUUGACUAGCUGUUGCUGCUGCCAGAAGGCGGCGGGGUUUGCCAAUGCAAGUGGGUUCAAUGGUGACAGUUGCUGCUGCAAGAUGGCGGCUGGGUUCACAGCAGCCAGUUGGUUGAACGGAAGCAGCUGUUGUUGCUGCAAGAAGGCAGCGGGGUUCGCCAGGGCCAGCUGGUUGAACGGGAGUAGCGUCUGUUGUUGCAAGUAUGCGGCGGGGUUCGCCAAGGCUAGUUGGUUCAACGGUGAUAGAAUGCGUUGUUGCUGUGCCGUGAUGCUCUGUACUGUCAGAUGAGAUAGGGAUUGCUGCUGCAAUAAGGCCGACUGUUGUGGUAGGAACAUGGCCGAUGAUGGUAGGAUGCUUGCUGCAAGUGCCUGCUGUAGCCUGUAGGAUUGCACAAUUGGGUGUUCAUACCCAAGAGCUGUGUAAGGUGAGAGGUACUGGGGAAUUGUGGCUGCGGCGGCGGCUACUGAGCACUGUGGGACAAGGACCGCGGUAGCAGCGCUCACUGAAAGAGCAAGGAGCGCAAGGAAGGCAAAUAUCUUGGCUGCCAUUGUUGCUAAGAGGUUGGUUGUCGGUUUCAAUGUCUAUGUAGCUAGAUUGAUGGGUGAUUGGAAUACCUACACAACAUUUGGGGCCUAUUUAUAGGCAUGAGAGCUCAUGUAGCUUUAGCAAGAUUUUUGCUUGUGCCUUGCAAAUCGCUAGCUUGAUAAACUAGAGACGACAUGGUAUCUAGUCAAUUUUGGCAUUUAGUGAUAAAUACCCUUGUGUUGUAAUGCAUGUGUUGGCAAGACAACUUGCAGUUGUACAAGCAAAAAAGUGUCUUCUUCUGUUGGUAUUGUCUUUGUGACAACAUCAUGGUCGGUUCACCUUUAAACACGUGAAAGUCUUAGCCACAAAAAUAUGUGUUCCACUUUGUUAAAGUUGGUUUGUAAAGCUGUGAUUUGCUGGUGUGGAUCCAAAUCAUUUUGAGCUUCAUUGUUCAUCUAACUCGGAUAGGAUUUGUUCCAUGAGCCAAUCCUCAUGGAUGAUAGAGGUAACACACUAGUUCUAGAAGAAGUUAUCAAGUAAGUAAUGAGCCAAUACACAAGAACCUAGAUUAAGUCAGUAUUGUAAGUCAUGCAAACAAGGUGUUUGCGUUGUGGUUGCGAGGAAUCCGUUUGCAAUCGGUGUGGAUAUAUUGCACCAGAUCUACGCAUGCAUAUGUUAGAGCUAUCUCUCUAAAGGUGAAAGUCGCUCAAAGUGGGAGGACCGCUGCUUGUGCACAUUGUAGUUUCCCAAGAUUCUACUUUUGACAUAUUUGAAUGUAUUCUACCUUGUCUACACAUACAUAUUGUAGGGCCAUCUAUAUCGAUCCAUAGGAAGUUUUUUUUCCUGCUUUUGCAUAAUAUUUCUAUGAAAAGUUGAAGAUAGUGUUUCUGGAUGUGUGGUAACAAUGGAUCGGAUUAAAACCUAGACUCUUUUGUUUUCCAUAUAUACUCAGGAACCAAUUUCAUCGGUGCACAACAACAUGAGACACUGGCGCUCAACUUAACCGUACCAUAUUGCCAUUCAAUUCUUGGGUGCGACAUGCCUAUGGCUACAAAGAAGAUGAUAUUCCGACCCUAUACGCUACCUCUAUUAAACUAUUACGCCGGUUAAAAGUGUUGUAUCGUUCACUUUAUGAAUUUGAAUAAUGACUUUUGAGAUGUUUGCACAAGAUAACAGGAAGCGCAAUGAGUCCUUCGUCUAAGCUCAUCAGCACCAUUUUACGGCAACAUGUGAAUCAAACAUGUAACCAAAAAAUUUUAAACAAUGAUGUCUGGUUUAUGAGCAUGUAUUGUUCCCCAUCAUGCUAGCAACGUAGACUAUUGUGAUACGUGUGUUAUGUUAUAUACUUGGGUUGAACCUAUUUUGCCAAAAAUUUAUGUCCAUUCUUGAGAGAGGUUUCAUGCGUCAAAUUGGUAGAAUCAAGAAGUCGUGGGCCAUAGCAAGGUCAAUUUUUUUUGCGUUCCUAGGAUUUAUCCAUGCCCAUAUCUUCACUGUAUAUGGAAGCAUGCAUGACUUUUUGCUAGAAAAAAAUAUUGAUCAUGUGUGUAAAGAUGAUAUAAGUACGAAAUAAGAUGUAAUGACUUUAUCGAAAAAUUUUGGGCUCAACUUUGGCCUUCUUCGUGAGAACUAUGUUAUACUCAGGGAUUUCAGUGGCAAUGAUUGAAACAUGUAGAUAUACUGGCAUAUAACAUGCACAAUAAUAAUUAGUGAUGUUGACCAAUUCUCUCUCCUAUGGAACAUUCGAAACAACCAUUGUGUUAUCUUAAGUCCUACUACGCGCCCGUGGCAUGGCUGUGCUGUCCCAUCUAGUGAAAUCUGAACUUUCGGAGAUACUGAACCGCCUCACGGUAUUUGCAUGAUGUAAUAUGUACUUAAAUCAUGUAUGGCUCCAUAGGUACGAUACAUAGUAUUUGGUAGUUGUCGAAUGUAUGGCACAAAGAAUUACGAAACACAUUUGGACACAGAUAGGACUUCAUAAUCUCAACCAAUACUUUUCUUAUUUCCGGGGAGUCACCCAUGUCCUCAUGCAAACAUAAUUAUUCAAGUACAACUCAUAAGUAAUCUAGAAGAGGGCAGAACCAACGAUGGGUUGCUGCAAGAAGGCGGCGGGACUCGUCAAAGCUAGUUGGUUGACUAGCUGUUGCUGCUGCCAGAAGGCGGCGGGGUUUGCCAAUGCAAGUGGGUUCAAUGGUGACAGUUGCUGCUGCAAGAUGGCGGCUGGGUUCACAGCAGCCAGUUGGUUGAACGGAAGCAGCUGUUGUUGCUGCAAGAAGGCAGCGGGGUUCGCCAGGGCCAGCUGGUUGAACGGGAGUAGCGUCUGUUGUUGCAAGUAUGCGGCGGGGUUCGCCAAGGCUAGUUGGUUCAACGGUGAUAGAAUGCGUUGUUGCUGUGCCGUGAUGCUCUGUACUGUCAGAUGAGAUAGGGAUUGCUGCUGCAAUAAGGCCGACUGUUGUGGUAGGAACAUGGCCGAUGAUGGUAGGAUGCUUGCUGCAAGUGCCUGCUGUAGCCUGUAGGAUUGCACAAUUGGGUGUUCAUACCCAAGAGCUGUGUAAGGUGAGAGGUACUGGGGAAUUGUGGCUGCGGCGGCGGCUACUGAGCACUGUGGGACAAGGACCGCGGUAGCAGCGCUCACUGAAAGAGCAAGGAGCGCAAGGAAGGCAAAUAUCUUGGCUGCCAUUGUUGCUAAGAGGUUGGUUGUCGGUUUCAAUGUCUAUGUUGCUAGAUUGAUGGGUGAUUGGAAUACCUACACAACAUUUGGGGCCUAUUUAUAGGCAUGAGAGCUCAUGUAGCUUUAGCAAGAUUUUUGCUUGUGCCUUGCAAAUCGCUAGCUUGAUAAACUAGAGACGACAUGGUAUCUAGUCAAUUUUGGCAUUUAGUGAUAAAUACCCUUGUGUUGUAAUGUAUGUGUUGGCAAGACAACUUGCAGUUGUACAAGCAAAAAAGUGUCUUCUUCUGUUGGUAUUGUCUUUGUGACAACAUCAUGGUCGGUUCACCUUUAAACACGUGAAAGUCUUAGCCACAAAAAUAUGUGUUCCACUUUGUUAAAGUUGGUUUGUAAAGCUGUGAUUUGCUGAUGUGGAUCCAAAUCAUUUUGAGCUUCAUUGUUCAUCUAACUCGGAUAGGAUUUGUUCCAUGAGCCAAUCCUCAUGGAUGAUAGAGGUAACACACUAGUUCUAGAAGAAGUUAUCAAGUAAGUAAUGAGCCAAUACACAAGAACCUAGAUUAAGUCAGUAUUGUAAGUCAUGCAAACAAGGUGUUUGCGUUGUGGUUGCGAGGAAUCCGUUUGCAAUCGGUGUGCAUAUAUUGCACCAGAUCUACGCAUGCAUAUGUUAGAGCUAUCUCUCUAAAGGUGAAAGUCGCUCAAAGUGGGAGGACCGCUGCUUGUGCACAUUGUAGUUUCCCAAGAUUCUACUUUUGACAUAUUUGAAUGUAUUCUACCUUGUCUACAGAUACAUAUUGUAGGGCCAUCUAUAUCGAUCCAUAGGAAGUUUUUUUUUUCCUGCUUUUGCAUAAUAUUUCUAUGAAAAGUUGAAGAUAGUGUUUCUGGAUGUGUGGUAACAAUGGAUCGAAUUAAAACCUAGACUCUUUUGUUUUCCAUAUAUACUCAGGAACCAAUUUCAUCGGUGCACAACAACAUGAGACACUGGCGCUCAACUUAACCGUAUCAUAUUGCCAUUCAAUUCUUGGGUGCGACAUGCCUAUGGCUACAAAGAAGAUGAUAUUCCGACCCUAUACGCUACCUCUAUUAAACUAUUACGCCGGUUAAAAGUGUUGUAUCGUUCACUUUAUGAAUUUGAAUAAUGACUUUUGAGAUGUUUGCACAAGAUAACAGGAAGCGCAAUGAGUCCUUCGUCUAAGCUCAUCAGCACCAUUUUACGGUACCAUGUGAAUCAAACAUGUAACCAAAAAAUUUUAAACAAUGAUGUCUGGUUUAUGAGCAUGUAUUGUUCCCCAUCAUGCUAGCAACGUAGACUAUUGUGAUACGUGUGUUAUGUUAUAUACUUGGGUUGAACCUGUUUUGCCAAAAAUUUAUGUCCAUUCUUGAGAGAGGUUUCAUGCGUCAAAUUGGUAGAAUCAAGAAGUCGUGGGCCAUAGCAAGGUCAAUUUUUUUGCGUUCCUAGGAUUUAUCCAUGCCCAUAUCUUCACUGUAUAUGGAAGCAUGCAUGACUUUUUGCUAGAAAAAAAUAUUGAUCAUGUGUGUAAAGAUGAUAUAAGUACGAAAUAAGAUGUAAUGACUUUAUCGAAAAAUUUUGGGCUCAACUUUGGCCUUCUUCGUGAGAACUAUGUUAUACUCAGGGAUUUCAGUGGCAAUGAUUGAAACAUGUAGAUAUACUGGCAUAUAACAUGCACAAUAAUAAUUAGUGAUGUUGACCAAUUCUCUCUCCUAUGGAACAUUCGAAACAACCAUUGUGUUAUCUUAAGUCCUACUACGCGCCCGUGGCAUGGCUGUGCUGUCCCAUCUAGUGAAAUCUGAACUUUCGGAGAUACUGAACCGCCUCACGGUAUUUGCAUGAUGUAAUAUGUACUUAAAUCAUGUAUGGCUCCAUAGGUACGAUACAUAGUAUUUGGUAGUUGUCGAAUGUAUGGCACAAAGAAUUACGAAACACAUUUGGACACAGAUAGGACUUCAUAAUCUCAACCAAUACUUUUCUUAUUUCCGGGGAGUCACCCAUGUCCUCAUGCAAACAUAAUUAUUCAAGUACAACUCAUAAGUAAUCUAGAAGAGGGCAGAACCAACGAUGGGUUGCUGCAAGAAGGCGGCGGGACUCGUCAAAGCUAGUUGGUUGACUAGCUGUUGCUGCUGCCAGAAGGCGGCGGGGUUUGCCAAUGCAAGUGGGUUCAAUGGUGACAGUUGCUGCUGCAAGAUGGCGGCUGGGUUCACAGCAGCCAGUUGGUUGAACGGAAGCAGCUGUUGUUGCUGCAAGAAGGCAGCGGGGUUCGCCAGGGCCAGCUGGUUGAACGGGAGUAGCGUCUGUUGUUGCAAGUAUGCGGCGGGGUUCGCCAAGGCUAGUUGGUUCAACGGUGAUAGAAUGCGUUGUUGCUGUGCCGUGAUGCUCUGUACUGUCAGAUGAGAUAGGGAUUGCUGCUGCAAUAAGGCCGACUGUUGUGGUAGGAACAUGGCCGAUGAUGGUAGGAUGCUUGCUGCAAGUGCCUGCUGUAGCCUGUAGGAUUGCACAAUUGGGUGUUCAUACCCAAGAGCUGUGUAAGGUGAGAGGUACUGGGGAAUUGUGGCUGCGGCGGCGGCUACUGAGCACUGUGGGACAAGGACCGCGGUAGCAGCGCUCACUGAAAGAGCAAGGAGCGCAAGGAAGGCAAAUAUCUUGGCUGCCAUUGUUGCUAAGAGGUUGGUUGUCGGUUUCAAUGUCUAUGUUGCUAGAUUGAUGGGUGAUUGGAAUACCUACACAACAUUUGGGGCCUAUUUAUAGGCAUGAGAGCUCAUGUAGCUUUAGCAAGAUUUUUGCUUGUGCCUUGCAAAUCGCUAGCUUGAUAAACUAGAGAUGACAUGGUAUCUAGUCAAUUUUGGCAUUUAGUGAUAAAUACCCUUGUGUUGUAAUGUAUGUGUUGGCAAGACAACUUGCAGUUGUACAAGCAAAAAAGUGUCUUCUUCUGUUGGUAUUGUCUUUGUGACAACAUCAUGGUCGGUUCACCUUUAAACACGUGAAAGUCUUAGCCACAAAAAUAUGUGUUCCACUUUGUUAAAGUUGGUUUGUAAAGCUGUGAUUUGCUGAUGUGGAUCCAAAUCAUUUUGAGCUUCAUUGUUCAUCUAACUCGGAUAGGAUUUGUUCCAUGAGCCAAUCCUCAUGGAUGAUAGAGGUAACACACUAGUUCUAGAAGAAGUUAUCAAGUAAGUAAUGAGCCAAUACACAAGAACCUAGAUUAAGUCAGUAUUGUAAGUCAUGCAAACAAGGUGUUUGCGUUGUGGUUGCGAGGAAUCCGUUUGCAAUCGGUGUGCAUAUAUUGCACCAGAUCUACGCAUGCAUAUGUUAGAGCUAUCUCUCUAAAGGUGAAAGUCGCUCAAAGUGGGAGGACCGCUGCUUGUGCACAUUGUAGUUUCCCAAGAUUCUACUUUUGACAUAUUUGAAUGUAUUCUACCUUGUCUACAGAUACAUAUUGUAGGGCCAUCUAUAUCGAUCCAUAGGAAGUUUUUUUUUUCCUGCUUUUGCAUAAUAUUUCUAUGAAAAGUUGAAGAUAGUGUUUCUGGAUGUGUGGUAACAAUGGAUCGGAUUAAAACCUAGACUCUUUUGUUUUCCAUAUAUACUCAGGAACCAAUUUCAUCGGUGCACAACAACAUGAGACACGGGCGCUCAACUUAACCGUAUCAUAUUGCCAUUCAAUUCUUGGGUGCGACAUGCCUAUGGCUACAAAGAAGAUGAUAUUCCGACCCUAUACGCUACCUCUAUUAAACUAUUACGCCGGUUAAAAGUGUUGUAUCGUUCACUUUAUGAAUUUGAAUAAUGACUUUUGAGAUGUUUGCACAAGAUAACAGGAAGCGCAAUGAGUCCUUCGUCUAAGCUCAUCAGCACCAUUUUACGGCAACAUGUGAAUCAAACAUGUAACCAAAAAAUUUUAAACAAUGAUGUCUGGUUUAUGAGCAUGUAUUGUUCCCCAUCAUGCUAGCAACGUAGACUAUUGUGAUACGUGUGUUAUGUUAUAUACUUGGGUUGAACCUGUUUUGCCAAAAAUUUAUGUCCAUUCUUGAGAGAGGUUUCAUGCGUCAAAUUGGUAGAAUCAAGAAGUCGUGGGCCAUAGCAAGGUCAAUUUUUUUUGCGUUCCUAGGAUUUAUCCAUGCCCAUAUCUUCACUGUAUAUGGAAGCAUGCAUGACUUUUUGCUAGAAAAAAAUAUUGAUCAUGUGUGUAAAGAUGAUAUAAGUACGAAAUAAGAUGUAAUGACUUUAUCGAAAAAUUUUGGGCUCAACUUUGGCCUUCUUCGUGAGAACUAUGUUAUACUCAGGGAUUUCAGUGGCAAUGAUUGAAACAUGUAGAUAUACUGGCAUAUAACAUGCACAAUAAUAAUUAGUGAUGUUGACCAAUUCUCUCUCCUAUGGAACAUUCGAAACAACCAUUGUGUUAUCUUAAGUCCUACUACGCGCCCGUGGCAUGGCUGUGCUGUCCCAUCUAGUGAAAUCUGAACUUUCGGAGAUACUGAACCGCCUCACGGUAUUUGCAUGAUGUAAUAUGUACUUAAAUCAUGUAUGGCUCCAUAGGUACGAUACAUAGUAUUUGGUAGUUGUCGAAUGUAUGGCACAAAGAAUUACGAAACACAUUUGGACACAGAUAGGACUUCAUAAUCUCAACCAAUACUUUUCUUAUUUCCGGGGAGUCACCCAUGUCCUCAUGCAAACAUAAUUAUUCAAGUACAACUCAUAAGUAAUCUAGAAGAGGGCAGAACCAACGAUGGGUUGCUGCAAGAAGGCGGCGGGACUCGUCAAAGCUAGUUGGUUGACUAGCUGUUGCUGCUGCCAGAAGGCGGCGGGGUUUGCCAAUGCAAGUGGGUUCAAUGGUGACAGUUGCUGCUGCAAGAUGGCGGCUGGGUUCACAGCAGCCAGUUGGUUGAACGGAAGCAGCUGUUGUUGCUGCAAGAAGGCAGCGGGGUUCGCCAGGGCCAGCUGGUUGAACGGGAGUAGCGUCUGUUGUUGCAAGUAUGCGGCGGGGUUCGCCAAGGCUAGUUGGUUCAACGGUGAUAGAAUGCGUUGUUGCUGUGCCGUGAUGCUCUGUACUGUCAGAUGAGAUAGGGAUUGCUGCUGCAAUAAGGCCGACUGUUGUGGUAGGAACAUGGCCGAUGAUGGUAGGAUGCUUGCUGCAAGUGCCUGCUGUAGCCUGUAGGAUUGCACAAUUGGGUGUUCAUACCCAAGAGCUGUGUAAGGUGAGAGGUACUGGGGAAUUGUGGCUGCGGCGGCGGCUACUGAGCACUGUGGGACAAGGACCGCGGUAGCAGCGCUCACUGAAAGAGCAAGGAGCGCAAGGAAGGCAAAUAUCUUGGCUGCCAUUGUUGCUAAGAGGUUGGUUGUCGGUUUCAAUGUCUAUGUUGCUAGAUUGAUGGGUGAUUGGAAUACCUACACAACAUUUGGGGCCUAUUUAUAGGCAUGAGAGCUCAUGUAGCUUUAGCAAGAUUUUUGCUUGUGCCUUGCAAAUCGCUAGCUUGAUAAACUAGAGAUGACAUGGUAUCUAGUCAAUUUUGGCAUUUAGUGAUAAAUACCCUUGUGUUGUAAUGUAUGUGUUGGCAAGACAACUUGCAGUUGUACAAGCAAAAAAGUGUCUUCUUCUGUUGGUAUUGUCUUUGUGACAACAUCAUGGUCGGUUCACCUUUAAACACGUGAAAGUCUUAGCCACAAAAAUAUGUGUUCCACUUUGUUAAAGUUGGUUUGUAAAGCUGUGAUUUGCUGAUGUGGAUCCAAAUCAUUUUGAGCUUCAUUGUUCAUCUAACUCGGAUAGGAUUUGUUCCAUGAGCCAAUCCUCAUGGAUGAUAGAGGUAACACACUAGUUCUAGAAGAAGUUAUCAAGUAAGUAAUGAGCCAAUACACAAGAACCUAGAUUAAGUCAGUAUUGUAAGUCAUGCAAACAAGGUGUUUGCGUUGUGGUUGCGAGGAAUCCGUUUGCAAUCGGUGUGCAUAUAUUGCACCAGAUCUACGCAUGCAUAUGUUAGAGCUAUCUCUCUAAAGGUGAAAGUCGCUCAAAGUGGGAGGACCGCUGCUUGUGCACAUUGUAGUUUCCCAAGAUUCUACUUUUGACAUAUUUGAAUGUAUUCUACCUUGUCUACAGAUACAUAUUGUAGGGCCAUCUAUAUCGAUCCAUAGGAAGUUUUUUUUUUCCUGCUUUUGCAUAAUAUUUCUAUGAAAAGUUGAAGAUAGUGUUUCUGGAUGUGUGGUAACAAUGGAUCGGAUUAAAACCUAGACUCUUUUGUUUUCCAUAUAUACUCAGGAACCAAUUUCAUCGGUGCACAACAACAUGAGACACGGGCGCUCAACUUAACCGUAUCAUAUUGCCAUUCAAUUCUUGGGUGCGACAUGCCUAUGGUUACAAAGAAGAUGAUAUUCCGACCCUAUACGCUACCUCUAUUAAACUAUUACGCCGGUUAAAAGUGUUGUAUCGUUCACUUUAUGAAUUUGAAUAAUGACUUUUGAGAUGUUUGCACAAGAUAACAGGAAGCGCAAUGAGUCCUUCGUCUAAGCUCAUCAGCACCAUUUUACGGCAACAUGUGAAUCAAACAUGUAACCAAAAAAUUUUAAACAAUGAUGUCUGGUUUAUGAGCAUGUAUUGUUCCCCAUCAUGCUAGCAACGUAGACUAUUGUGAUACGUGUGUUAUGUUAUAUACUUGGGUUGAACCUGUUUUGCCAAAAAUUUAUGUCCAUUCUUGAGAGAGGUUUCAUGCGUCAAAUUGGUAGAAUCAAGAAGUCGUGGGCCAUAGCAAGGUCAAUUUUUUUUGCGUUCCUAGGAUUUAUCCAUGCCCAUAUCUUCACUGUAUAUGGAAGCAUGCAUGACUUUUUGCUAGAAAAAAAUAUUGAUCAUGUGUGUAAAGAUGAUAUAAGUACGAAAUAAGAUGUAAUGACUUUAUCGAAAAAUUUUGGGCUCAACUUUGGCCUUCUUCGUGAGAACUAUGUUAUACUCAGGGAUUUCAGUGGCAAUGAUUGAAACAUGUAGAUAUACUGGCAUAUAACAUGCACAAUAAUAAUUAGUGAUGUUGACCAAUUCUCUCUCCUAUGGAACAUUCGAAACAACCAUUGUGUUAUCUUAAGUCCUACUACGCGCCCGUGGCAUGGCUGUGCUGUCCCAUCUAGUGAAAUCUGAACUUUCGGAGAUACUGAACCGCCUCACGGUAUUUGCAUGAUGUAAUAUGUACUUAAAUCAUGUAUGGCUCCAUAGGUACGAUACAUAGUAUUUGGUAGUUGUCGAAUGUAUGGCACAAAGAAUUACGAAACACAUUUGGACACAGAUAGGACUUCAUAAUCUCAACCAAUACUUUUCUUAUUUCCGGGGAGUCACCCAUGUCCUCAUGCAAACAUAAUUAUUCAAGUACAACUCAUAAGUAAUCUAGAAGAGGGCAGAACCAACGAUGGGUUGCUGCAAGAAGGCGGCGGGACUCGUCAAAGCUAGUUGGUUGACUAGCUGUUGCUGCUGCCAGAAGGCGGCGGGGUUUGCCAAUGCAAGUGGGUUCAAUGGUGACAGUUGCUGCUGCAAGAUGGCGGCUGGGUUCACAGCAGCCAGUUGGUUGAACGGAAGCAGCUGUUGUUGCUGCAAGAAGGCAGCGGGGUUCGCCAGGGCCAGCUGGUUGAACGGGAGUAGCGUCUGUUGUUGCAAGUAUGCGGCGGGGUUCGCCAAGGCUAGUUGGUUCAACGGUGAUAGAAUGCGUUGUUGCUGUGCCGUGAUGCUCUGUACUGUCAGAUGAGAUAGGGAUUGCUGCUGCAAUAAGGCCGACUGUUGUGGUAGGAACAUGGCCGAUGAUGGUAGGAUGCUUGCUGCAAGUGCCUGCUGUAGCCUGUAGGAUUGCACAAUUGGGUGUUCAUACCCAAGAGCUGUGUAAGGUGAGAGGUACUGGGGAAUUGUGGCUGCGGCGGCGGCUACUGAGCACUGUGGGACAAGGACCGCGGUAGCAGCGCUCACUGAAAGAGCAAGGAGCGCAAGGAAGGCAAAUAUCUUGGCUGCCAUUGUUGCUAAGAGGUUGGUUGUCGGUUUCAAUGUCUAUGUUGCUAGAUUGAUGGGUGAUUGGAAUACCUACACAACAUUUGGGGCCUAUUUAUAGGCAUGAGAGCUCAUGUAGCUUUAGCAAGAUUUUUGCUUGUGCCUUGCAAAUCGCUAGCUUGAUAAACUAGAGAUGACAUGGUAUCUAGUCAAUUUUGGCAUUUAGUGAUAAAUACCCUUGUGUUGUAAUGUAUGUGUUGGCAAGACAACUUGCAGUUGUACAAGCAAAAAAGUGUCUUCUUCUGUUGGUAUUGUCUUUGUGACAACAUCAUGGUCGGUUCACCUUUAAACACGUGAAAGUCUUAGCCACAAAAAUAUGUGUUCCACUUUGUUAAAGUUGGUUUGUAAAGGUGUGAUUUGCUGAUGUGGAUGCAAAUCAUUUUGAGCUUCAUUGUUCAUCUGACUCGGAUAGGAUUUGUUCCAUGAGCCAAUCCUCAUGGAUGAUAGAGGUAACACACUAGUUCUAGAAGAAGUUAUCAAGUAAGUAAUGAGCCAAUACACAAGAACCUAGAUUAAGUCAGUAUUGUAAGUCAUGCAAACAAGGUGUUUGCGUUGUGGUUGCGAGGAAUCCGUUUGCAAUCGGUGUGCAUAUAUUGCACCAGAUCUACGCAUGCAUAUGUUAGAGCUAUCUCUCUAAAGGUGAAAGUCGCUCAAAGUGGGAGGACCGCUGCUUGUGCACAUUGUAGUUUCCCAAGAUUCUACUUUUGACAUAUUUGAAUGUAUUCUACCUUGUCUACAGAUACAUAUUGUAGGGACAUCUAUAUGGAUCCAAUGGAAGUUUUUUUUCCUGCUUUUGCAUAAUAUUUCUAUGAAAAGUUGAAGAUAGUGUUUCUGGAUGUGUGGUAACAAUGGAUCGGAUUAAAACCUAGACUCUUUUGUUUUCCAUAUAUACUCAGGAACCAAUUUCAUCGGUGCACAACAAAAUGAGACACUGGCGCUCAACUUAACCGUAUCAUAUUGCCAUUCAAUUCUUGGGUGCGACAUGCCUAUGGCUACAAAGAAGAUGAUAUUCCGACCCUAUACGCUACCUCUAUUAAACUAUUACGCCGGUUAAAAGUGUUGUAUCGUUCACUUUAUGAAUUUGAAUAAUGACUUUUGAGAUGUUUGCACAAGAUAACAGGAAGCGCAAUGAGUCCUUCGUCUAAGCUCAUCAGCACCAUUUUACGGCAACAUGUGAAUCAAACAUGUAACCAAAAAAUUUUAAACAAUGAUGUCUGGUUUAUGAGCAUGUAUUGUUCCCCAUCAUGCUAGCAACGUAGACUAUUGUGAUACGUGUGUUAUGUUAUAUACUUGGGUUGAACCUGUUUUGCCAAAAAUUUAUGUCCAUUCUUGAGAGAGGUUUCAUGCGUCAAAUUGGUAGAAUCAAGAAGUCGUGGGCCAUAGCAAGGUCAAUUUUUUUUGCGUUCCUAGGAUUUAUCCAUGCCCAUAUCUUCACUGUAUAUGGAAGCAUGCAUGACUUUUUGCUAGAAAAAAAUAUUGAUCAUGUGUGUAAAGAUGAUAUAAGUACGAAAUAAGAUGUAAUGACUUUAUCGAAAAAUUUUGGGCUCAACUUUGGCCUUCUUCGUGAGAACUAUGUUAUACUCAGGGAUUUCAGUGGCAAUGAUUGAAACAUGUAGAUAUACUGGCAUAUAACAUGCACAAUAAUAAUUAGUGAUGUUGACCAAUUCUCUCUCCUAUGGAACAUUCGAAACAACCAUUGUGUUAUCUUAAGUCCUACUACGCGCCCGUGGCAUGGCUGUGCUGUCCCAUCUAGUGAAAUCUGAACUUUUGGAGAUACUGAACCGCCUCACGGUAUUUGCAUGAUGUAAUAUGUACUUAAAUCAUGUAUGGCUCCAUAGGUACGAUACAUAGUAUUUGGUAGUUGUCGAAUGUAUGGCACAAAGAAUUACGAAACACAUUUGGACACAGAUAGGACUUCAUAAUCUCAACCAAUACUUUUCUUAUUUCCGGGGAGUCACCCAUGUCCUCAUGCAAACAUAAUUAUUCAAGUACAACUCAUAAGUAAUCUAGAAGAGGGCAGAACCAACGAUGGGUUGCUGCAAGAAGGCGGCGGGACUCGUCAAAGCUAGUUGGUUGACUAGCUGUUGCUGCUGCCAGAAGGCGGCGGGGUUUGCCAAUGCAAGUGGGUUCAAUGGUGACAGUUGCUGCUGCAAGAUGGCGGCUGGGUUCACAGCAGCCAGUUGGUUGAACGGAAGCAGCUGUUGUUGCUGCAAGAAGGCAGCGGGGUUCGCCAGGGCCAGCUGGUUGAACGGGAGUAGCGUCUGUUGUUGCAAGUAUGCGGCGGGGUUCACCAAGGCUAGUUGGUUCAACGGUGAUAGAAUGCGUUGUUGCUGUGCCGUGAUGCUCUGUACUGUCAGAUGAGAUAGGGAUUGCUGCUGCAAUAAGGCCGACUGUUGUGGUAGGAACAUGGCCGAUGAUGGUAGGAUGCUUGCUGCAAGUGCCUGCUGUAGCCUGUAGGAUUGCACAAUUGGGUGUUCAUACCCAAGAGCUGUGUAAGGUGAGAGGUACUGGGGAAUUGUGGCUGCGGCGGCGGCUACUGAGCACUGUGGGACAAGGACCGCGGUAGCAGCGCUCACUGAAAGAGCAAGGAGCGCAAGGAAGGCAAAUAUCUUGGCUGCCAUUGUUGCUAAGAGGUUGGUUGUCGGUUUCAAUGUCUAUGUUGCUAGAUUGAUGGGUGAUUGGAAUACCUACACAACAUUUGGGGCCUAUUUAUAGGCAUGAGAGCUCAUGUAGCUUUAGCAAGAUUUUUGCUUGUGCCUUGCAAAUCGCUAGCUUGAUAAACUAGAGAUGACAUGGUAUCUAGUCAAUUUUGGCAUUUAGUGAUAAAUACCCUUGUGUUGUAAUGUAUGUGUUGGCAAGACAACUUGCAGUUGUACAAGCAAAAAAGUGUCUUCUUCUGUUGGUAUUGUCUUUGUGACAACAUCAUGGUCGGUUCACCUUUAAACACGUGAAAGUCUUAGCCACAAAAAUAUGUGUUCCACUUUGUUAAAGUUGGUUUGUAAAGGUGUGAUUUGCUGAUGUGGAUGCAAAUCAUUUUGAGCUUCAUUGUUCAUCUGACUCGGAUAGGAUUUGUUCCAUGAGCCAAUCCUCAUGGAUGUCAUUGAGUCGUUCAUGUUUUCUCACCUGCUAGAAUGCUUUGCACCAAUGAUGAGCAUUACACUGCAAGAGACAUUCUAAGUCAAUAUUGUGAGAUGAUCAAGUUGGGCAAAUCCCACCAAUUCCUAGGAAAAAAGAGAAAAAGGAAAUAUAGGAUCCGGGUCGCGUGAAAAAACAUGAACAUUGCUUCGUAGAAAUCCGACCCAAAGGAGGAAGAACAUUGAGUAGACUCUGCAUUGUUCAAUUUGUGUCAUCUCGCUCGCUCGCUCUCUCUCCAUUUUGUUUUUUGCUAGUUUUACCACAACAUUUAUAUGAGCCCCUCCAAGUUUCGAAGGACAUAAGAAUCAGGCACUACUCACUAGCCAUCUAUAGCCCACAAAAUCCUUUUCUUCUCUAUUUUUUUUCGGUUCGACCUGCUCCCAAUUUCAGCCCACAGUCCGAUCCGACCCAACACCGUACCCCAGCACGGCCAUAUAUUGCACUCAGAAGUCCGUAACAAACUCUGAAAGGAAGAAAUCUGCAGACCACAUAACCUGCAAACCUACCCUAAUCCGUGCUUUAACGCCAAUCCGGAUCGAUCGAGGACUCUGAGUUCAAUUCGGACUCCUGCCUAGAUGCACUGCAAUAUUAGCAGAGACGAGCAACCCCGGCCUGACGCCGACGGCUACCUGACCUCUUCUAAUUCAGGGCCAACGCGUUCUGUCAGACGGAGGAGGGCUAUCAGAAGUUGCAGAAGUGCGUGCGCAAAGAGAUGGAGGCCAAGGAGGGCUAUGUCGAGGUAGACGACGAUUGGGUCAGGCAGAAGGCAGGCUUACAGGCAGCCAUUGAACGGGUACUGAAGAAACUCGAAGGGAUACUCGAGCCGGAGACUGAGUCUUCGUCUUCGUCCGAUGACGAUGGCAGCGACGACUACACGUCGGAUGAGGAGGAAGAUUAUGACGACAACGACAUCAGCGACUGCUCUUCGGAUGAGGAAGAUGAUGGUGACGACAGUGACUACUCAUCAUCAGACGAAGAGGAAGAUGACAACGAUGAUGGCAGCGACUGCUCGUCAGAUGACGAGGAGGAAGACGACGAUGAUGAGGACGACAGCAGCUACUUCUCGUCGGAUGAGGAGGAAGAUGACCACGACAGUGACUACUCAUCGGAUGAGGAGGACGACGAUGAGGACAGCUACAGCUCCUCAGAUGAGGAGGAGGAUUGUUUUGCGAUCCUUGGCGAUUGUGCAAUGCUAGGCUUUAAUUUGAUAACCUUCGUGCCACGCGCAGUACUUACUAGGUUCAACUUCCGUUUUGUAUUGGCUGCAUGCAUUACGGCUUUCUUCGUCCUGUAUGGAUAAUUGAUCAUUUUAACUGGAUCUUCUCAUACCAAUUUCUUAGUCUUCAUGAUGUUGGAUUCGUUCAAUUGCUACGCAAUAUUUCUCGCUAAUGCGGGAGGUUCUCAGUGGACUGGGAACGCAGUGCAAUCACAAUUUCUGUUUGUUGAUUGAAAGUGUACGUUUCAGUGCUGUGAAUAUCUAUUGUCAUACAAAUUAAAAGUUCAGGAUCCACAAGGUCUUGCGCAAUGAAAGUUACCUCUUUAUUAGAAUGAAAAAGUUUAUAUUGUUUGUGGUGGAAAGUUUUAGAUGUUUUACUUACUUAUUAAAAGUGACAGAGCAGAUGAUGUAAGGAGGGCUUGGACUACUACUAUCACCAUGGCGAGCCCCACGAAAUGUUAAGCAAGAUGCCAAUAAUGGGAUGGAGAGUUGUCCCUAUUUUUUAACCUAAGGUCCUAGAGAACAAUACUACUUAAGCAUGGAAGGUAAAAGAUUCUUAUUUCUUAACAAAUAUGUGUCAUGACUCUGGUUCGAUCACAUGGCAAACUGCAAACAAAUUUUGUAUGACCAAACUGAAGAUCUGGAUCUGAUCUGGUGAGUUUCAAACAAUAUUAUUAAGUAAUGCAAAAUUUUUAUGAGUUUCAAACAAUAUAUAUAUAUAUAUAUAUAUAUAUAUAUAUAUAUAUAUAUCGUCGCCAAAAAGAAAAGGUAUCCUGUGCAUAUCAAUAUCCAGUUAUAAGUUAAUCGGAGCUUAAAUUGCUACUAUACCUAACAGUAAUCCAACCCUGAUGAUCCCACGAAUUUGAGUGUUUGAUGCUUAUUUACUCCCUCCGUUUCAUUUCAAAUUUUAGGUCAUUUUGAUUUUUCUAAGUUCAUAGAUAUUAUUAUGCAUCUAGACAUAUAUCUAUGCAUAAUAAUAUCUAUGCACCUAGAAAACUAAAAGGAACUAUAAUUUGGAACGAAGGGAGUAUUUAUUUUUUUACCUAAGUUCCAAUAGCGCAACAAAAUCCAGGGGUCGUCAUGAAGAUUCAUGAAUGUUAUGAAUUUAGCAAAAUCCACGUUAUUAGACUGACGUGGCAGUAGAGUGUAGCAUGCAGGGUGCAUUGUUUUAGUAGCGAAUUAUGUCAGUAGUAAUACGUACCAACUCGAUGCGGCCCUGCAGCAGUGCAGCUGUUCUUCUCCGCUCUCGUCGUGCUCCCCAUAGCACGAUCGAUAUCCCUUCCUGAACCAGCGGUGUCUGUUCCUGAACCAGCGGGCGAUGCAGCUGAUCGAGGACACCCGCAUCACCGUGCACGCACAGUGCGGGCCCACCGUGUCCUGCGCCGACAUCCUGGCCCUCGCCACCCGCCGCGCCGUCGUCCGCGCAGGCGGCUGAACCUUCCCUGUCCGCCUCGGCCGCUAUGACAACGUCGCGCCGGCGACCCACCGCGACGUCGCCGCCAUCCCGCUGCCGAACACCAGCGACGCCGACAAGCUCCUCGCCGCCUUCGCCAGCCGGGGCCUCACCGACCUCGUCGAGCUCUCCGGCGCGCACUCCAUCGGCAAGGCGCACUGUGCCCGUCGUUCCGCGACCGGGCGGCGCUGUACGACGACGACUUCACCAGGAAGCUCUUCAGGGAGGGACGCGUACAUGGUGGAGGACCUCGACGGCGUCACGCCGCGGGCGCUCGACAGCCAGUACUACAGGAACCUGCUGUACAGGGGCGAGGGGGUGCUGACAUCCGACGUGGCGCUGCUGAGUCACCCGUUGACUGCCAUGUGGGUGAGGUACUACAACGAUCACCCGCAGGAGUUCCUCAACCAUUUCUCGUCCAAGAUGGACAAGCUCUACAACGUGCCCCGCGCCGGGUUCGGCGAGAUCCGACGGUUCAGCUGCUUCAGGACCAACAAUGGCAGGUUCGUCGACCGCGGCGGCGACGUCGGCGAGGGGGAGGGGCACCCAGCUUCUGCUUGAUGGUCUUUGUUCUCCUCUUUGUUACGCCGUGUGCCCAAACAUGUUAUGCUCAUUAGCUAGCGCACUGUUUUGCGUGCAAUGUAAUAAGACUGUGCGCGAUGUAGUCAUCUCAUCGGCUGCUUUGCUUUUCUUUCCUCCAUAGGACAGUGUAUGUAUGUUGUUUUGCUUCUAUUUCAUUCAAAUUGAAAUGAGAUCUGCAUGGCACGCUACUGAGAUGCUUCCACUCGUCGAUUUGGCAGCUAGUGGAAUCUGAGAAUAUGAAAUGUCCUUGAGACAAAAACUUUAUUUUAAAAAAUGGUCUCUAGCAGGGAACAAAACGUGGUUGAAAUAUAUGAACUUGACUGAAAAGCCAAUCAACUAUGCUAACCGCUAUGAAUUAAGUUACUACACUGUUCUCUGAGUUGCUACAUCAUGAUUUGAGAAGAUUAUAUUCUACAUUACCUGUUACAACAUCCUUGCUACUUUGAGAUCUUGAAAGGGCACGGGGGAUAUUGGUUUAGUUAUCGGAGUAUUGUCAUAUUGUGCGAUAUAGAGUGCCUGACAGCGACUGUAUUUACCUUCUUCACUCUUUCAACUCGAAAAUUCUGCUAGUUACGUGAUGAGAUCGGUGCCGACCAAUGUGCAAAGUAACACAACCACAACUUAUGAGCAACUAGUGCCGGCUGUGUUUGCCCUUAGCUAAAAGGUUGGGCGUUCUCCACGUUGAACCCUUGAGAGUUUGUUCGGUUAAUCCCCUCCCCAAGGUGGCGGUGUUUGGGAUACUGAACAAGGCAGGGGUGGCAGAGACAUAUUUUUUUUGUGGGGGGGGGGGGGGGGGGGGGGGGAUGUGGUGGUGAGAGAUUUAUGGUUUUUGAGUUCGGGAAGGAUAAAUGCAGAGGUAAAAUGGACUUUGUCUCCCCAAAAUAUUUGGCACGGAAUUCUCUAGCUAGUAUAGGAGUAUACACAUAUGCAUAGUGCACUAGAACAACGUUAUUAAUUGCAGUGUUAUCUUGCUUUAGUGAUGAUUAUCUGGUCUGGCCGUCCACAUCAUCCAUCCAUGCAUGUGCUUUCGGGAUAAGAAGGCAAUAAAAAAUGAAGGAAGAUGAUCAUAUGUGGAAAGCACUACUGCAGUACUGCUCAUAUGGCCUUCAAGCUUCAGCAUAUAUUUGUACUUCCAACAAAUCCAUCCAUCCCUCCUACCAAACAUAAAACCGGGAAUCUGGGACCAUUCCAUCCCAUAUAACCAAACAAAAAUCAGGAUCAUCCUAUCCAAAAAACUGAGAUGGGACCAUGCCAUCCCACAUUGUCUUCGAACCAAACGCACGCUAAUUAAGAAUAUAGCGUAAUCCUAUAUUCCUGUACGAUAAUCAGCCUCGAAGGUGCUGCAGCAAAAGAAAAUCACUAUCUUUAGUCAUUCCUAAUCGGGGACAAUUCUAAUAGACGGUUUAUGAUUAAAAAGUAAAAAGAAAAGAAAGAUGUUUCAUCUAGAUGAAACAAAAUCUACCUAUUUCCAACACAAAUACUACCCACUACUAGAAAGUGCAAGAUAUAUUUGCCUAGUGUUGCGUAUGAAACAAUAAAUAAUGAAACAAUACAUUGGAACUAUAUAUCGUAAUAAUCAAUUAAAUUCUCCCUUUAAUAGUACGUGGCACUCUUAGAAACGUCAAUCCACGAUUCUUCAUUAGGAUUGGCCUAAUUCAUUAGGAGUAGCUCUUCUUCUGUUCCCUUUACAUUUCCUUUCUCUUUUUUAAGUUGUGGACACGGCCGACAAACUGCUCCACCGAUCGAGUAGCGGCAUGGGGAACGUGUGAGGCUUUUUACAGUAAUGCAUGGUGAUCCUCGUGAUCUGCUGUAAUAGUUAACUACUCAGGUAUUAUCUUGAGAUCAUAAGAUAUUGUUAUGGAAAUUAAAGGUAAUAUAUUUGGCUUUUAACAAAUGUGCAUCACGUAUUAAAACUUCAAAGGCUAAUCUCUUCAUCACGCUACAGCCUAGCUUAACUACUUUCCAUUUUUCCUGUGGUGUAUUUCUUUUCUCAAUCUUAAUAUAAUCACGCACGACGUGCACCUCUCCCCAUUUUCUAAGUUGCAUUCUCUAAAGCCUUGUGAAUCAUUGCAUGUACGGUACAACUGGCACUCUGAGAAUGGAUGGGAUUGCUUGGAAAGCAAGGACAAGUUUUAGGUGUACAACAAACAAGGCAAUUUUUCAUUCAAAUUCGUAUGUUUGGUUCGGAAUAAAACUUACAGUGGGAUACUUUUUGGUGCAAAUAAUCCACCCCAUCAAAACAUUAUUUCAGGGAGAAGUAAAUUUGUUCAAAAGAAAGGACGAUUAAUGCCUACUUAUAUAGGUGUACCCAAUCCCGCCCACCAUUGAAGUCACCGACCCGGCCGUCGCCCGGAGCAUGCUCGUCGACCACGCCGACGUCUUCUCCAACCGCCCGCUCGCGCCCUUCCCCGUCGACUACGACGCCGGGCGGCGCCGCCCCAGCCACAGCAUGAUCAACAUCGUGCCCCACGGCCCGCUGUGGCGCGCGCUCCGGUGCAACCUCAGCGCCGGCGUCCUCCACCGCUCGAGCCUCGGCGUCGUCGCGCCGCUAGCUCCACCGGGACGCCGUCGAGGACCUCGUCGCCGGCCUCUCCGCGCAGGGCCAGGGCGGCGGCGUCCUCCUCCGCGACGCUGUCCACACGGCGGUGCACACGAUCUCCGUGCGCAUGUGCUUUGGCGACGGCGUCGUCACGCGCGACGACGUGCGCGCCAUGCAGGACACGCUCAGGGAGUUCUUCGACAACAUCGUGGAGGCCAGGGGCCUCGCGGCCUCGAGGGUGGCGAGGCUCCUGCACUGGAGGCAGUGGCAGCACUUCGGCGGCACGUUCGACCGGCUCAUCGGGCUCUUCCUCCCUCUGGUCGCGGCGAGGCAGCGGCGGCGAUCUCAAUGCGGUUACGGCGGCGGCGGCGACGACGACGGAGGAACGAUCCGCCCGUACGUCGACUCGCUCCUCGACCUCCGAGUCCCCGACGACGACGUGGACGGCGCGCGCCGCCCGCUCACGGACCACGAGAUGGCGUCGCUCGUGUGGGAGUUCGUCAGCGCCGCCACCGAGACGGCGGUCGCCUGCGUCGAGUGGAAGCUCGCCCACCUCGUCGCCGAUCCAGAACUCCAGGACAACCUACACCGGGAGAUCGCCGACGCCGACCAGGGCGAUGGCGCGAUCUCCGACGAGCGCCUCCGCGACCUGCCGUACCUGCGCGCCGUCAUCCAGGAGAGCCUCCGGUUGCACCCGCCGGUCCCGUUCAUCGUGCGCGACGUCGGCGCGGAGGACGGCACGGUGGCGCGCUACACGCUUAUGGUGGCCGACGUCGGGCGGGACGUCCAUUGGCACCGUACGAACUCGAUUGAUUUGGAUUUGGGAAGUGAUUGCUCUUUCACUCUCGAUCAAAAUUGAUGCCCGCGUACGCAUCGCCUAAUCAACAGGGGAUCAACCUGCAGUUGCAGCUUCCCGUAGACCGGCUCCACCGGCGCGGCGCUUCCGGCCGCCAGCUCGCACGGGUCCAAGAAGGCGACCAAGCUCGUCCCGGCCAUACUGUUGCUGCUGCUCACGGUGGCCGUGCUCGGACGUGGGGACGUUGGGAGCAGAGCAGACGAGAAGAGCAGUGACACGACCUCGCCCGCGAUGAGGAGUCCCGGAGCUCCGGCGAAGGCGCGCUAAGCACUUUGUUGCUUUUGCAGAAUAUUUUACUUGCUCAUUCCCAUUCCCAUCUUUCCUGCUAGUUGUGAUCUGGUUAGUUGAUGCAGCGACAGGUGGAUUUGGACUAGCCUUCGGAAGAAUUGCGCCUGUUUCAUGUUUAAUCCCUACAGCUUUAACUUGCUUCUGAUGAUUUGACUGUGCUGAUGCCAAGUUUUUGUUUAUUUUUGAGAAAUAAAAUAGGUGCGUGAUCUCCUAGAUUCUUAUGUAAUCAAUUUCGAACCUUAGUUGAUAGUGCUGGUGCCAAGUGUGCUCCGAUCGUCCGGACCGCGCGCCGUGGGCUGAACAAGGUGUUUUCAGGCCCAUGUUUUCCAAUAGUGCUGCGGCACACGCGGCUAGGAGGCAAUAAGGGCUGCCUGACGAUGGCCCAGCCCAGGCGGCUUCGACGGGAGACAAGCGAGACGGAUAUGGAUUCGGCCCAACCUGACGAGUUUUUUUUUAUAGUUUUCAGAGGUGGGGGAAAACAAAUGCAGAGGAAUCAACGAAAUUCAUAGGAAUAUUAUGGUUUUCAUCAUCAAAUUGUUGAAGACACACAACACCUCCUACAGCAUAGCCGCAUAGGACACCCGACAUAUCACUUGUCACCUGCAAAUUAACUACGGCACAUCAGUCCCAUGCAAACGAGACAACACCAAACAAAUCAAGCCAAUAACGCCGAGAAUUUUCGUGUCCAGUCCAGCAGCAGAGCUAAUAACCAGUCCAGCAGCAGAGCCAAUAUCCAGACCAUCAUCAGAGCUAAAAGCCUGGUACUGGAUGUUGGAGCGGUAGUAGGUGUUGGGCGCCCAGUUGGCCGGGAUGACCUGGUAAGCCACCAGCUUCUGGCCAGACUCGUUGGUGAUGCGCAGCGAGAAGGGGGCCGUGAGCGGUCGUCUGGUGUCCAACCUCCAGAUGGAUCCCCACGACUCCCGCAUCGGCGUCCACCACCCGGAGUUGGCCUCCAUGAGGUCCACCUGGACGACAUCGCCGUCGCCAUCUUCGAAUUCAACGAGCACCGCCAAGUAGUUAGGGUUUGAGCCGUGCUCGAUGUGGAAGGUCACCAUCUGCCCGGGGUAGAUGCAGGGCACCCUACAGGAACAGGCCAUGUUAUAUGUAAUUUGGAUUAGGCCAUGUUAUAUGUUACAUGUUAUAUAUAAAACACCAAAUUGUAAAGUGGAAGUACUACUGCUAUUUGUGCGAAUCUACUCAAACUGAUUGUUGUCGCUAAAGUUUGUUGAGCAAAAGUACAAGGGCUCCAUAGCAAAGUAGGGCCAUGAGAUUGGUUGGCCUCUGGUUCUAUGAAAUAAGCAGUGCAUGUCACAGACCUCUUGAACUGGAUGUCGAUGAUGCCGGCGUGGCGGAGCUCAUCAUUGCGGCCGGGCUUUGCCAAGGCACCAAACGCCGUGCCGCUGAGGUCAAAGUGGUACUUGGCGACUGGGUAGUAGUUCAUGUCAGUGAUUGCCACCGUCUCCGGAUUGCCGGAGCAUGCAGGGUGGUUGAGGCAUCUUAUCUGAGAAAGGUCAGCAACAAAUGAAAGGAUUUAGUCCACUGUGCCUCAUCUAGUUUUCUCUCAGUGUAUCUCUGUUUCCAUUUUCAUGAGGGCAUCCAACAGCACAAACAAGCUUGUCGACAUCCUAGAAAUAGUAUCUCUGACCAAGUAACGUACCUGGUAGCACGAGCCGCAGCCCUUGCCAUCCUUGAACAGGGGCUGGUUGCCGCAUGACGUCAUGGCCGAGAAAGGAGGCAGGUUCACGUUCUUGAACCCGCAAGCUCCACCUGCAUGCAUGGAAGCUUAUAGAUCGUCCAACAACAAUACACACCAUAUAUAAUCUGGCGCCAUGCACCGACAUUAAUGUACAUACCAUUGUCAUAGGGGCCAGCGCCGGUUGGCGCACCAUACCAAGUUGCCCUGGCAGCCACCCAGUAGGGGUCUGCGGUGAUGUGGGAGGCAUUGAAGUUGACGAUCCUAGUGCAUGAGCCAUACAAGACAAGGAGGAGGAAGAUCAGUGCACGAAGUGCAAUCAUCUUGGACGAGGCGAUCAUGGAUGCCAUCUUACUAGCUAGAUCGUUAGCUGCUAGUACUAGGCAGGCAUGAAGCUCUCUGUUUCGAUGGUCAGCCCGAGAAGCACCUUGCCAGGAUAUCCUUUGGUAGUGGGGUCACAUGGCUCUGGAGCAAACGCAGAGCACCUGAUGUCUUUUUGGUGGAGGGUUACAUGGCUCUGGAGCAAAACAUGAAAGGAAUGGAGGCAUCAGGUCAGUCGCGCUUAUAUAGGAUUUGAAGCUAGGGUGGUCCAAUAAGUCAAAACUUUUGAAUAUCUCAUGUAAAUUAUCAACUUAAAUACAAGAACAAAAGCUUGUCCUACAAACAUCUUCAGAUCCACAAUUAAGUAUUAAAUUUGCCUCAAAAGAGAGCUUACACACUUACAAUAGUUCAAAUAAGACAACAAUACUAUUUCUUCCCGAUGUCGGGCUUAUGCUUUCCAACAGCCAUAAAGUCUCCAUUAUACCAUUAUACCAUCUUCAUUCACACUGAAUAAAACAUCUUCACAAAUUACUAGUUGCUUGCGAAUUUACAGAUGUACAUUCCUACCGCCGGCUACCAAUGUGCAUUCCAUGUUUUCUCACAACAAUGCGCAAUGCGCUACCAAUGCGCUACAAUCCUACAUUCCUAGCUUCCUACCAUGGCUACCAGUGUGCAAGGCUGCAAGCUAACCAAAACAAGUUACGAAUAACUGAAAUUGGUGAGCUACCUUGCUGCUUGCCUACCGGCUUGGUGCUGGGUGUCGGCUGCUUCCCUGUCGCUCCUCUGCUCCUGCUACGCCAGGCUGUCGGCUGAGGGCGCCGCCGGAGAGCCAGCCCACCCGCCGCCGCUGCCGCCCGCCGGAUCUCCUCCGCGCGGCCGCGCCUCCCUUGCCGGACGCCGGCUCGCUCCUCCUCUCCUGCCUCCCUGGCUCCCUCCGUCGACGCGUCGCCCGAGUCGCCGUCGCCGGAUGCCCGGAUCCGGCGGGGGAUGGCCACCGCGCGCCGCCGAUUUGAAUCGGCGAACCCUAGGUCGCCAUCCGCUCCGCCCCCGCGCCUCCGUCUCGCGGCUCGUUCGCCCGUUCGGUCUGCGAUUCGGAGUCGGAGUGGACGGCCUGGAUCGCUUCCGUAUCCGAGUCCGCCGGCGUGGGCUACAAGGCCCAGCCCAAUUUAGAUUCCAAGCAAAAAGAGAGAGAGCUCGCAGCCCAUCAGGACUCCGACUCGCACCCGAGAUCCAGGCCCGCCCACUCGGACUCCGACUCGCACCCGAGAGAGCCCUUCGUCUACCUACAUAGGACGAGACGCGCCGCCGCCUCCUUCCCCCCAAAUCGAAAGCUCGGGUUCGAAGCAUCCACACCCCCAAAUCCCUCGGCGAAGGCGAGAUCAGGCGAGGCGGGUCCGCAUCGAUGGAGGGUUACGGCCCCAAGGCCGCGGAGGCGUCCGGCAAGGAGGGUGCCAUGGCGCGGGGCACCACCAAGAGCCUGAAGGCGGCGGCGGCCGCGAUCGGGCCGCACGGCCUGUUCGCGGGGUACUCCGCCAAGGGGAAGGCGGACCAGGAGACGGCGGCAUCCGCUGUGGAGAAGGCGUUUGCGAUGUCGGCGCCGGCGACGGCGAUGGCUCAGAAGGCGAUGGAGGCGGCGCAGCAGGCGGCUGUGCUAGCGGCGGCGCCGUCGAAGCAGGCGGACGCGGAAAAGCAAGCGAAGGAGGCCAAUCAAGCAGAGGAGGAGGAGGUGGGGGGGAGGGAGGAGGAGGAGGAGGUGGUGGAGGUGGAGGAGGAGGAGCAGGAGGCUGCUGCUGCUAUUGAUGCUUAUGCCACUGAUAGUGAAGACGAGGAGGAUGGGAUGACUUCCAUGGAGUACAUCAUGACCUACAAGGAGCUGCCGCCGUUCGAGGUGGAGCUGAUCAUGCAGAAUCCUGUGCAGCGCACUCUCUUUGCUGACACCGAGAUGUACAAGGCCCUGAUCGCAGACCCCUCCACGACGCAGGAAGACAUCGACGAUGCUUCCUACGAGCACGAGGAGAAUCAGAACAUGAGGAUCCGGUUCCAUGAUUGGGUGCGCAGCGAGUACGAGGCCAAGGGCUACGUUGCUGUCAGUGAUGAGUACAUCGCCAGGAGGGCUCGCACAGAAGAGUUCUCCAGGAAGCUGUGGGAGGAGGGGUUUUCUGAUUCUGACAGUGAAGACGACGUCGAGGAGGGUGCCCACUGACUGAACUGAGAUGAGGAUCAAUUUGUCCGUGCCGUUCCGAACCUAUGCCAUGCAGUGAAUUCGGUUUUUGGUGGUAACCAUGGAUAAUCCAUGUUUAGUUCACCUCCAAAUUCCAACUUCAACACUAUGCAAAAAAAAGAUUUCCCAUCACAUCAAACUUGCGGUACAUGCAUGGAGUACUGAACAGAGACAAAAUUAAAAACUAAUUGCACAGUUUUGUUGUACUUUGCGAGACGAAUCUUUUAAGCCUAAUUAGUCAAUAUUUGACAAUAAUUCACAAAUACAAACGAAAUGCUAUAGUUGCGCUACGGUAAUUUUGGUUGUCCCAAGUUGGGCAAGUAAACAAGGCCGGCUGUUUGGCGAUAAGUUGGUGCUUUCCGGAGUAAUAUUGUUUACUAUGCAUUGAUUUAUGUCUCUUGAAACUAUCUCAUGCUUUGUUUGGUCAUAUUCAGAUAACACUUAUCGCAUUGUGCACCAAUCAUAAUUUUAUUUUCGGUCUUGCCUUAUGGUUAGUGGGGAGCUCAGCUAGCGUUCCUAAAUCAUGUUUUGCAUGGGGGCAAAAUGUUUGGCAUGGCUUCUUCAGCUUUUGCGGAGCACACAGCUCUGCACUCGUGAAGUCGUGAUGAUCCUAUCCCACGCGGACCUGCAUUCUUGCUACACAUAACCCAUCGAUAGUUUCGGUUUUCAGAAAUCCGCAACAAGGCAGAGAGCACACGCUUUCCAGGUAUACCAAGCAGCGAAUAUAAUCAAGAGUAUUUGAGCAAAUCUGAGCUCUGAAGUAGAUGCCAUUCUAUCCAAAGAUCACAACACGCUACGGUGCGACAGUCACAAGCCCAAAACACAAGUAGCAAACUCCUGCCAAUCCUUCAAUUGAGGAUAAAAUUACAUAUAAAUCCAAACAACAAGUGACAAUGUCAACUAAAUUUCACUUCACAAAAAAUAGAAUCUACAAUGACGACCGACUAAAACCGACAAGCACUUCACACAAAAGAAUCUGCAAUGAGUCCAAGCAUACCCAAUAACUGGGAAAACCCCCAAUUCUAAGUCACACGCACACACGAUCAUUUUUCGCAAGAUUCAUCCAUAUUACUGUAUUAUACUAAUGGCAAAAGCACAUGUUCCUUGGAGUUGUAACUUAAAAGAAACACACUAAAUGUCAAGUAGAGAUGGAUAAUGCUACUCAACCAAUAUGAGGACAGUACUGCAAACAGAUGUACCCCAUGAAUAGACCUUAUCCAGAUGCUUUGAAACAGGCAAUGACAAUCGAUUCACAGUUCCGAGCAAGAUGAAAUAGGCAAGGACCGACAUAAACAGCCAAUAACUGAUGUUACCCCAAUCUUAGACUGUCAGUAUUUAAUAUGGCAUGACCAGGCUCAGCCAGAUCCAUUCAACAGAAACCAACACGACAGAAAAUAUGGUAAUACAGCAAUAGGCUACUAGGAAAAACACAUGUUCCUCAGAUUUGCAACUUUGAAAAACAACUCUAACUUAGCAUAGCAGAUAGAGGAUGGUGGCAUUAGUUAAUUAAACCAGGACAAAACCAUAAUAAUAAAAAAAAGUAGACACCCAGGUGAUCCCGAUUCACAGUUCAGAGCAAGAACUAUUCUGCAAUUAAAAUAGGCAAGGACUGACGUGUCAAACAAUAAUCAACAAUAUCCGGAUCACCCUGCAGCGCUAUGCAGAAUAUCAAUACCUCGAUCACCCUGCAGCAUUAUGCAGAAUAGAAUGCUCUUUCUGGUUGGGCAUCACCAUGACAAGGAGCAGCUAACUCUAGCCAACACAAAUCAGCACAGAUGACAGAAGACAAGAGGCACUGCAUAUGCUAUUAGGAAACACAUGUUCCUCGCGACAUUAUAAACUUAGUUCCGAGGUUGUAGCCUAGAUAGUUUAUGGAUGCAAUGAUGGGCACUAAUUAGUUAACUUAGCAACAUCAGUCCUCACUCCUCAAACUGGUUGCAACGAGAGAUGAUGGCACUAGUUAAUUAACCACACCAUGAGGACAGAACUUAUUGCACACAUAAAACAUAGACCAUAUAGACUAGACCACAUAGACCAGCCGGAUGUCAUCAAGUUGAGGCCACGCAUUCCCCUCUCAGCUCUCCCCGGUCUUCAUUCCAUGGAUACAAAAGCGUCGACCCAUUCGUCCAGUCCCGCUUCCGCGGCCACGCGGCACAGGACCCUCUGAGCGAUGUAGUCGUCGUCGACCUCGACGUAUCCCUUCUCCUCCAACUCCGCGCGCAUCCAGGCCUGAAGCUUCUCGAACCUGGCGAAGGUGCGCUUGCUCGACUCGGCCUGGUCCCGGUAGACCUCGUAGGUCUUUUCGAUGAACUCCUGGGGGUAGAUCUUGCCGGGGUGGUUGACCAUCCGGGCGUAUUCCUCGUCCGGGUCCACGAAGAACUCCUGCUUCAGUGACAGGAUGCACUUGACGUACUCCUCCGAAAGCCGCAGCCGCCCUUCCUUGCGGCUUGUGUCGUCGGCUUCCGCCGCUGCCGCCGGUGCCACGUCAGCAGCGUGCUUCUCCCCAUCGUCCACGCCUCCCGCCACCUCGGCCGCAGAAACAGCAGCCGCCGCCGCCGCCGCCGUCGCCUUCCCCGCCUCGGAUGAGACGAUCGCCCCGAUGAGCUUGUUGGAGAGCUUCCUCACCGGACGACCCUUGGCCGCCUUGCUCCCGAUCGCCACCGCAUCCUCCGGCACGCACCCGUCGACGGACCAGAUCCGCGCCGCCAACUCCGCGUCCAUGGCGGCGCGCCGCACCUGCAGGCCCCCCUCGUCGCCGGACGGCUCCCCCCCGACGGAUCUGCUCCGCGGCGCCCCCCUCGCGCCCUUGCCCUUGGUGGUGCCGCGCCUCAGCAUCGCGCCCUCCUCGCCUGAUCCGACCCUCCCUCGCUGAGGAUUUCGGGACGGAUGCUUCGGGGAAUUUGGAAACCCUAGGUUUCGAUGGGGACAAGCGGCGGCGGCUGCGGCGGGUCUCGCGGCAUAUUUGUGGGGGGCAGCGGCGGUGUUGGGUCGGGUUGGUUUCCAACCUCCAAAUUGGUUGGGCCAGCGCGGGCCCAACUAUUUUUAAGAAACACGGCCCGGCCCAACGAAAUGUCCAGAUUAGGAAGCGUUUCAGCUCUCUCUCGCUCGCUUACCGCAAUUUUAAGCAACAACAAUUUAUGUCCUAAAAAAAAUCAACAACAAUCUGCUAGUAACCAGGAGAGGCAUGUUCUGAUGAAACUGAAACUGAACGAGGAUGAGCCGUCACCAUCGAUGAAAGCUCUGACGAAACUGAAGAACCAGGAGCAGCGGCAGGAUGAUGUUCCGACGAAACUGAAACUGAACGAGGAUGAAGUGGAGAGGAUUUGGAGAGGAUUCUUUUAACUUGUAAGGUCUUCUUCAUGAGUCGUGACGUUUCCUCAAUCCAUGAAAGAAGACCUUGUAGGCAGCAGCUUCAUUAUCUUUGGUUACUUUUAACUCACCAGGACCCCAUGGGCCUUCCAGUACUAUGAUGGCUGAUGCUAUCUGACUCUGAGUGGUUUGCAGAGGCAAGCACCGAUUGUUUUCAGACUCCUGGAGUUCUACUACUGUGUUGGUCAACCAGUCGGAAUGUCCAGUCUAGUGUUGGCCCAGGAAAUCAUCUUGCAAAACCGCACUCCUAGGCUCCCACCAAAUCCAUGGAGCUAGUCCAGCAUGUUUUGCAGCAAAAAGACCAAGCUUGCUUGCAAAAGAAUGGCCGACUAAUUUGAGAGGCAAAUCAACGGCAGCCAGUAAUAUCUCUACUAAAAAAAAA